This 75477-nucleotide long non-coding RNA is filed under the name Coffea arabica (coffee). RNAcentral's name for it is "long non-coding RNA (CARA_LNC004500)". The record is from RNAcentral. Lineage: Eukaryota; Viridiplantae; Streptophyta; Magnoliopsida; Gentianales; Rubiaceae.
GAACAGAAGAACGCACUAGAAUUUAUUUAAUAUGGUAAAUCACAGAUCACCAUAGAUUCAUAUAUCUAGGUAUAAUCAAUCACAGAUCACCAUAGAUUCGUAUAUCUAGGUAUAAUCAAAGGCGUAUUUACAUCUCCAAGUUCAUAAAAAACAAAGAAAUCAGAAGAUCAACAUUUGAUAAUCACAGCCGAUGACGAUGACGAUGACGAUGAUAUUUAUGAUCUUCAGUCUUCGUUCUUAAUAGGAUCUUCAUAGUUGGGAUCAUUUACGUCGAGAGCUUCUUUGGGGAUCCGUCCUAGCUCAACAUCAGAGUAACCGUCACCGGACCACGUGAACUUGCCGCCAUGGCCACCUUUCUUCGGCGAUCCAUUCAUGCCUGUAGCCGAUUUCCUGUCUCUCCUGAUCUCCUGACCGUUGCCGGCCUUCACAUUUGUCUUGGAGCUUUUGCCGGAAUUCCUCAUCUGUCUCUCUCCACUCGUGGCUCUUCUGUAGCUACUCUAUCAAUUGAAGCGAGUGAGAACAGGAAACCCAGGUUGGCAGAAUUUAUAGGAAGCUGGGGUGGUUUGUACAUUGGGAGCGGUAUUUUAAUCGCGACCUUGUGGGCUGAUCAUGUAACGUGACAGCGACCGUAACAAAUGGAUAAGAACGGACUAUUCUUUCUUUUUUUUUUCUUUUUUUUUUUUUUUGGGGGGGGGGGGGGGGUAUGGGAACAAACUCGUCGGUUUUCUUUACUAGCCAAAUCAAUGAUCAUACACUCACAUUAGCACAUUUGAGCAUUGGGCAGUGGUUGUUGGAAUUUAACAUUUUUUUAAAAAAUUUGAAAUUCUCAUUACUUGAUUAAAAUUUGUAAAUUUUAAAAAGAAAAUGCUGUAUAUAGCUACACCUUGCCAUUGGUUUUUUUUUUGUUCAAUAGAAAGGGUUUUGACUCAUUUCUUUUGUAUUCCUGCACAUCAUUACUCAACUAUGGCAUUCUAGCUUUAAUGUAAACCCUUUGGCUUUGGUACAAAUAAACUAUAGGUCAAUUAGAACUCCACCAUAACCCAGAGAGAAGGGUCUUCACACGCUUUGACCAGGACAAGAAGCUGGAUAUACAAAACGGAAUUGAUGUAAAUUUGCAAUGAUUAUCGAUGAAUGUACCAGUGCCUAAAGAAUUUUUUACGAAUUUUUUUUGUGAAAAAAAAGAAUAACAAAAAACUUAUCCCACCAGUUUUUUUUUUUUUAGUUAUUAAUGUACAUAUUUAAUGCAUUUCCUUCAUGACAUUGAUGUUAGACCAAAUUGUUAUUCUUGACUUGUACCCAAAGACACUCACAAUAAGUCAAGUCCUGAUAUUGGAACUUCUUAUAUAUUUGAAAAAAUAAAAACUUUAGGAAAACAGUAAUUGUUUGCUUAACUUCUGCUAUGCAAAUGAAUCGUUUACUAUUUUCUACAAACAUUCCCUUAACUUCUUGUACCAGUUUGCUGGUUAAUUAUUUCACUCAAAGCCCUGCUCCAGAGAUUGUUAAACUCAAAAUGACUGAGGGCCUCGGGCAGCAUGGAAACCAAUGCCAGUAUAAUUAAUGGAGUUCAGAAAUAAUACCUAUUUAAUGGAGUUUGUUUGGAUAGGAAGAUUUGCAAAAAAAAUUAAAAUUAAAAUUUAUUCUAUUUACAUCAUAAAUAUAAUUUUCAAUUAUCUUUUUAUCUCGCAUGCAUUGCAUCACAAAAAAAGUGCUAUAAUAAUUAUUUUAAAUAACCUCAUAUCUCAAAUGCAUCACAUCUCAAAUGUAUCCCAGUCGCUUUCAAUUUGAUUCGCGAUUAUAGUAUUGAAAAAACAUGGCACGAAUCGAAUGGAAGAAAAUGAGAAUCGUCCUAUUGUCAAUAAUUAUUCACUCUCUUUUUCUUCCCCAUCACCCUUCAAUUUUUUCACGAGGAGCAGAGGCGGAGGCAAGUGUAACUGAGGGUAGGCAAUUACCCCAUCUUCCCCUCCCCCCUUCCCCGGGCAACAAACCUCCUCUUCAAUUUUGAGAUAUUUUCUUUUCAAGCUUAGAAUUUUUGAAAAAUUUUAAGUUGUUCCUUAUUUGAACCCCUUGAAAUUUUUCAAAAUUUCAUUUUUAUCUACUUUGCCCCGAUAUUUGUAUAAAAAUCUCUUUCUUAUCUAUAUUGUCUCCCUAAAGAACUUUUAAAUAUUUAUUUUUCAUUUACAUUGACUGCUCUUAAUAAAUUAAAAAUUUUUAAUUUUUACACUUCACAAGAAGUUGGAUAUAAUUAAAAUUAGUUAUUCAUGUAAAUUUAACAAUAAACUCUGUUAACGUUUCCAAACUACCACUACAUUGUAGUACAAUUUAGAUAUCAAAAUAUAAUUGACAUAAUGAUAAAAAUGUAUGCUUAACAUAAAUGCCUUUUAGUUAUAAAUUUACUAUAACUACAAUUGAUGUGGCGUCAAAAAUUGAAAUCUCAAAUCCUAGGGCCCUAAUUCUGAGCAAGGUGGGGCUUCAAAUCUUUUAUUCCCAAAGUAGUCUCUGUCCCAUCUGUCUCUUAUUUGUACAGCUGACACGUGUCUCUAGCAUUUUGUUAACCCAAACUUAAAUAAAUCGAUAAUAAUCAGUUUAUAAGUUUACUCAAAAUCAAUUAAAACCAUAGUUAUUAAACCCAAUCCGGGAAGGAACCCGGCGAAGGAGGUGGGUCAACGGGUUACUGGUUGAACCGGUGGGUGAGUGGUUGAACCGGUGGGUCACUACAUAUAUUUAAAUAUUAUAUUUCAUAAUUAUUUAUAUAAGAUAUAUGAUAUAAAUUGUAAUAAAUAAUGUCAUAACAAAAGCUCAUUUAAUUUAAUUUGUUAUAAAAUAAUUAAUUCAUAUAAGAAUCAAUCAAAUAUAAAGUUAUUUAUUAAUAUACCAAUCUUCAAGUGUAAAAUUUUAUCUAUAUUUAGUGUAAUUAUCUAGCUUAUUUAUGAAUUUUAAGUGUAAAAAUUUAUUAAAAAUAAUAUUUGUCUUUAAAUGAAUUAUGUAAUAUGUUAUUUUUGGAAUCCAUUUUAUAACUUAUAGAGUUUGGAGGGUAAUAAAUUUUUAUUAAAAGAUUCCAAAUAAAUUUGUUUUAGAGAAAAAAAGAUAGAAUUGAAAAAACAUUUAUAUAUCAUACUAAAGCUACUAUAUCAAUAUAUUUGGAAGUGGUUUGGUGGUAAGCAAGCGGUAGUGUGAGGGCAAAGGUCGGAAGUUCGAGUCCCAACAAUAGCAAUAUAAUUUUUCCACAAAAUCCGGUUAGUGACAAAACCGGCCAAAACCGGCCGGGUUUCCGGUUUAACCCAGUUCGACCGCCGGGUCGUUGACUAAGUCAACGGUCUGUGUGCACAAACGAUCUGAUUCCAAACCCGGCCCGGUCCAAUGACCGGUCCACCGGUUUGACCGGUUCGACCGCGCGGGCCGGGCCGGGUUUAAUAACAAUGAUUAAAACAGAUAACUCAAAACUUUUUUUAUUUUCUUUUUUAACAAAAAAGAGUCUUGUUGAUCAUAAACAUAGAAAUCAACUGAAACUCUUCUUUAUUUUUUACUCCAAAUCAACAAGACUCUUUAUUGUUAAAAAAAAAAUUUUAAAAAGUUUUGAGUUAUCUGUUUUAAUUGAUUUUGAGUAAACUUGUAAACCAAUUAUUAUCGAUUUAUUUGAGUUUGGGUUAGACACGUGACAGCUGUACAAAUAAGAGACAGAGGGGACAGAGGAUUUGAAGCCGCAAGGUGGCUUUCCCGUGAUCCUUCAAUUGUUCCAUAAGAAAUAGUUAUGCUCUUUGCAUGUUUUAUAAUAGCUAUACAAUAACUAUACAACAUAUAAUGCCUAAGUCACAGUUGUUGGUGUAAAAUGCCUUUGGUCAUCUUUUAAACUUUCUAUUUUAUCCUUAUAAAGAUUAAUCUAUACGAUACAAUAUAUAAUGCUUGAGUAAUGAUAACUGGCGAAAAUUUUUUGUUGUCUUUUAAACUUUCAAAUUUGUCCUUAUAAAAAUUAAAUUUUAUUAUAAUCACCUAAUUACAUUUUGCUAAUAUAACCCCUCAUAACCACCAUAAAAUAUUGUAACUACCAAAUUAUUGUAAUCGUAUAAGCCAAAACUUUUUUUCAUGAAAAUUUUAUGCAAAGUUUUUGUAUGCAACAAACAAAAAUUUAUACAAAUUUGAUCUAUUUUAAUUAUUCCCGAAUUCCGCACACAUGAGGUGUGCCCUUAAUGCGAGUUUAUGAUAAUUGCAACUCCACUGUCUAUCAUAUUUAUUACAUUUGCCAGAAAAUUCUUCUGGUGAUAAGAAAAAAGUUGUUUAAAAGUGGCAGCAACGAGUUAAGAGUGAUAUGUUUCACUAGGUGCCUAAUUAAACAGGGAAUAAAUAGAUUUUUGGAAGAUAAUUGGUUGACAUCAAUGAAUUCAAUAUCCAAGAAGCUUAUUCCUGAUAUGUGGGCUAGCAACUGUUAAUGUGGUCCUCAAUAUAUUCUGUUUAUUUUCGUUAUUUUUGGGUUGUUGGGAAAUAUUUAUUAUAUUGAUUUGCUUCUUAUCAUGGACUAAAGUUUUGGUUUAGAAUAGAUUUUCUUUUUCCUCAUUUAGAUCCAUGGACUAAAUUGAAACUAGUCAGAGCACCUAGUUAAACUGCAAAAUCAAGGACUAAAACUAAUUAAUUCUAUAUCCCUAUUUACCCAAAGCCAAUAAAAAAAAAACCCCAUUUACUUAAAUUUUUUUGGUAUAAUUUAACAAAAAUAAAAUUUUCUGGGUUAAUUAGUUAUUAUAACGACUUAACGUGCCAAAAUCCGGUCCAACGAUCCAAGACACCCGUAAACUACCGAACCCGGUUGAUUGGCUGACAUGGCCAAUCGUGAUUGGAGGUAACCCCCACGCAACAGCACCUCUCCCGACCACUCCCAAAACCCUACCGUUCGUCGAAUGGUAAAAGGGGGAAUAAAAAUAGAAAUUUCCAAAACCUCUCAACAAAUACAAAGGAGAAAGCCGAGGAAAGUAUAAUGACCGCUGCGUUGUAUGCCUACUUAUUUCCGACGGCGGCCUCUCCCUCCCAAUUUGCUCCUCCCAAGCUUCUCUUCUCUUCAAAAUUCUCUCAAAUCCCUCCUCAUUUCUCCCACCUUUCAACCCGUGAGUCUCUCUUCUUCUUCUCUCCAAACGUUUUGCAUCAGCUCUUACACUUAUUUUUAUCUCGUAUGACUAUUGUUUUAGUUGUUUAAUUAUCCUAAAAUAUAAGAUAAUUUAGUCAGUUACUUGUAAUUAUUGAAAUACCAAUGCUUUUUAUCUGCUAGGAAGACGUGCACUUUUUACUACUCCAAUUUAGUAGUUUAGAAAGAGCUGCUACUUUUAGUUUUAUGUUCGAUUAGAUUCAAGAGUUACUGAUGCAAAUUUGGGUAGCAUGGCGUGUGCAAUGUACUUGAUUUUCGCUACGUCAUACAGCUGCAAUUCUGUGGCUUAAUUAUUGGUGCUUUGGUGGGUGCAUUGGUUUGUUGGAGAGAGUUGUGUCUUUCUAAAAUGAGGUCGUGUGUUCUUGGGCAGCAGCUCUUUUUUAUUACGUUUAUGUUUCCUUUCUUUUUCAAUUAUCUUUGAAACUGAAACCUUUUAGACGUUUUUAGUUUUCAAGGGAAAAAUGAAAAUUAGCAUUGUUGAAGUGGUUUUAAAAUAAUGGUGGGGGGAUAAUAUGUUGAUGAAAUCAACAUAUAAUAGACGCUUGACAGGUUUGUGGUUAUUUGUCUGUCACUUGAAGAUAAUAUGUUGAUGAAUUGAGAAUUUUUGAGUCAUUGUAUUCUUUUUGAAUGAUUUAGAAAUUAAUUUUUAUGGGAUGUUUGAUAUCGUUACUUGUUCUUUGUGCUAACCUGUUAUUUUGGUGUGGUUAUUGUGAAACUAGACAGGUAUUCUGAGAACAGCUAGUAGGCCUUUCUCUGUGGCAAAACUGCAAUCUGUAUCAUCCAUGGCAGAGGUAAUUUUUCAUUAGUAUGUGCAACAUAAAUGACUACACAGUCACAGAAAAGACUGCAUAUAUUGAUAGGUGUUUGCUUUUGGAGAAUGUGACAUUUAAUAUGACAGUUCACUGAGCUGGGUAGGAAAAUUGGGGAUUUUUGAUCAACAAUUUGGAGAACUUAAGGUAGUGGUUGGUAGCCUGUAUGAUUUAGAUGUAAUCCAUAUGCACACUUACUGAAUGGAGGCUAGUGCAAAAAAGAUUGGCUUAUACCCAUCUCUGCACCUUGAUAUGUGUUUCCUUUGGAGGAUUUGACGUUCAGCAUUAUACUUCACUGUGCAGGUUAUGGAGAGAGUAGGGAGUGUUAAGCAACAAUUACAGAGACUAUUUGGAGAAGCCUUCAGAGAUAAAUUUCCUGAUGAGUUAGAUAUAGUUCCUAUUAUUACUCCUUGCAAAGAUCUAAGACACGGCGAUUAUCAAUGGUAUGCAAAAGCUUCUCAUAUUCACAAAUGGUGUAUUAGAUUGUCUAUGGAUGCUAAUUGAUUGGUUUUGCAUUGAAAUGUUGGUCUGUUGUGUGUGAAAUUACAACAUUUCCAUGCCUAGAAUCUUUUUGCAUAGCAUUUGUUCCCUGCAAUGCUGAUUGAGGAAACUAUUCUUUUGGUCCAGCAAUAAUGCAAUGAGCUUAUUUGCGAAAAUUAAAGGCAGAGUUCCUGAAUUCAAGAAACCGCAGGCUGUGGGACAGGUAUUCAUGGUUUCAUUUUAGUAUCACCCAAAUCUAGAAUGACUAUUGUGACAUAAAAGUUAGGUCCUUUUAUUAAAGCAUGAAGAUUCAGUUGUUCUCAUUCCAUUUGUAGGCAAUCAUGGACAGUCUUCCUGAUUCAGAAAUGAUUAGGGGGUGCACAAUAGCAGGACCUGGCUAUGUAAACGUUACAUUGUCAACAGAAUGGAUGGCAAAGGUAUUUAGCCUUUCUUAAUUUCACCAAGUGUUGUCAGUAGUUUUAUGUUUCAUAUGGAUACUAAAUGUUCCCAAAUUUGCAUUGCUGUGUAAUUAUUGCUGGAUGGGUAGAAACAAUAAUAAGUGAUAAUAUUGGCAAUGAUGAUAAUAAUGUUAUCAUUCUUCCUGCAGAGAAUUCAUAAUAUGCUUAUUGAUGGUGUUGAAACAUGGGCGCCAGAACCUCCAGUCCAAAGGGCAAUAGUUGAUUUUUCCUCACCUAACAUAGCAAAAGAGAUGCAUGUUGGGCACUUAAGAUCUACCAUUAUUGGAGACACACUGGCCCGUAUGCUGGAGUUUCAAAAUGUUGAAGUUUUUAGGAGAAACCAUGUUGGUGACUGGGGAACACAGGUUAUGGCAAUUUUGGCUACAUGUCUAAUUUUCCACUUGGUUCUUUUACUUUUGCCUUGUGGCCAAUGUGAUUUUCGGCAUUUUUUGAUUUGUUUACAUCUAUUAGUUUUGCUUCUUAUUUGCUCUACCUUCAAAGUAUUAAUUGUGGAAAAUCUAGAGAUCUGUUUUUUGGUUGUUCGGAUUGGAGAUGUCCAUGGAUCGUAGUCUCCUUGGUAUUAUUUGUUUGUCAUUUUGCUAUACCUUUUUAGAUGGUUUCCACCCAAUCUAUUUUCCCAUCUUUUACCUUAUAGGAACGGUGUAAAAGUAGGCAGAUUGCGCAAGGGGGUUUCACUUGUCACAAGCAGUCUGAUAGGCUUGGUUAUUUGUUUAUAUUAUCUGUUAUCCACGAACCUAACUUGUCACAUUAGUUUGUAUUAAUAUAGCUCUGUAAGCGACUUCACAAAUUAAGUUCCAUCUCCUGUCCUGCAUGAUGUAUUUCUACUGAUGUGACAAUCAUGUGUGAUCGAUUGUGACCAACUCUUUGGUUACCCCAUUUAUUUGAAUCCUAUUUUUUAUUAUUUGUUUUGCAGUUUGGCAUGCUGAUAGAAUAUCUAUUUGAAGAAAAUCCUAACUGGGAGGCUGCUCCAACUGAAGCCAUUGGAGAUCUACAAGUGAGUGCAAGAUAAAAUAUGACUAUUCAUGAUUUUUUACUUGUUUCAUAUUAUUCUGUUGAGAGGUGGUAAAUAUUUUCAAGGAAUGGCUUGCUUUUAUAAUGCAUUUGGGUACACAGGUCUUAUUGAAUUCAUUUUUUAAUAAAAGAAUUUAUCUGGGAAAAUAUUCAACUUCUACUAUUUAUGUUGUUUCCUCCUCAGGACAGUAGGUGGGUACUAUGAUGCAGAUGGAAAUUCACGUUAUUUUAAAUGCACUUGUUUAGCAGAUUCCUGUUGGUUCGUGAGUCUUUGUAGCUGUUCAAUUUUACAAAACACGAUCAUCUGAUGUCUAUUAAAUUGUUACCAUUUUCAGGAAUUUUAUAAAGAAUCAAAGAAGAAAUUUGAUGCCGAUUCUGAUUUUAAAGAGAGGGCCCAGAAAGCAGUAGUCAGUCUUCAGGUGAAUCACCUCAAUUUUGUAGUUGAAGCUUCAGUAGUGCGUGAUUUUGAUGUUCAUAAAUCCAUUCAUGCUAAAGGUUUUUGUAUUCCUUCGUUUGUUUGUUUGAGGAUUCAGGUUAUCAAUAUAUUGAAGUUGAUUUAGUGGUUGUCCUUGUUGGCAAUUCUAUUGUCAUGCUGUAAGUUAAUUUUUGUAACAGGGAGGAGAAGAGAAGUAUCGGAAGGCAUGGGCACAGAUCUGUGAAACUAGUCGAAGGGAAUUUGAUAAAGUUUAUCUGCGGCUAGGUAUUAAGUUGGAGGAGAAGGUAUGGAAUGGAAUGUUUGCAGUUUUGUAGCUUUACAUGAUGAAACGAACACUAAAUAAGCAAUGUAUGUCUUGCAUUCCAGUUGAGUGUUUGAGAAGUCUCUUUCCACUGGCCUUUGACUGCCUAGGUUUGAUCAUUUUCUAAUGCAAUUUGGUCUCUACAACUUAUGGGUCCUGUACUUUUUGUGAUUCAACUAGGUGUUUUUAAAUUGGGACACAUGUAUAAUAUAUUGACAAUGACAAAUGGUCGUCUAGGAUGAAUACACUUUGUGACCUGGUUUUCACAAAGGCCACUCUUUAUCUGUAUGUAUUGUUAAUCAUUUUUCUAUCUUCCAUCAUAAUGACAACAAACAUGAGGGAGUACUCGAGUCCUGGAAUAUACAGGAGGACAAAUAUGCAGUUUUAGUUAUAUUGGCUUGUAAAUGCCAAUGGAGAGGAAAGGGAGGAAAACUGUGGGUGCUUGUCUCGAAUAUGGGAGACAUCUCUGUCUCCCAUAUUUGAUCUUUUUAAAAAAAAAUUUUGUAUGCUUUAGUUAAUAGUUGAUGACUAAGCCAGAAUGCAUUAUACUUGGUAUUUUGUUUAAAUUCUAAUGAUUGUGCCUUCGGAAUUAUGUACACAAUAGCUUAAAAAUGCAUUAGUUUUUAAAUUGGGAAGUUUUGCAUAUGUCUUAGUUGACUUGGAGUGUGUAGGGACUAGUGUAGUCUUUGUUCUUGACUGUGCACAUGCCCAGGUUUAUUUAUCUCUUCUCUCUUCUUAUUAGGGGGAAAGCUUUUAUAAUCCAUAUAUCCCAACGGCUUUAGAGCUAUUGAGUAAAGAGAACUUAAUUGAAGAAAGUGAAGGUGCACGCGUUAUCUAUGUUGGCGGGAUCACAAGACCUCUUAUUGUUGUGAAGAAGGAUGGUGGUUACAACUAUGCUUCAACUGAUCUUGCUGCUUUGUGGUUUGUUUUCACUUUUUGGAUGUGUUUGUUAAUGGGAUUAACAUUCACUGUCUACUUUUCUUUUAAUAGUAUUGUAGAUCAACUGUUUUAUGCAUUGCAUGUGGCUGAACUUUUUUAAAAAAAAAGUGUGUUAUACAUAUAACUACUUAUAUAGAUUUUUUGACAGAGUAUAAUAUGGAUUAAAUUAUCUUGUAUGAUUAUUUUGUUAUUGAUUUGUGAGUUUGUCACAUUGCCCAUAUUAGAUGACUUUUGCUGCUCGUCAUUGUCUUGCAAUUUCGUCUGUGUUCUUAUAGGCAUAGACUUGAGAGGUUUAUUUUUCCAAAAAGUGAAAGAAGUAUGAGGGUCAAAUUUGAAAAACUAGUUAAUCAAUCCUGGAUACCUUAUUCUUGUAAGUUCUUGGAAUCUCUGUAGGUGAAUACAUGCUGGUCAAGCAUUAGUUUAAAACCACAGAUUAUUCAGUCUGUAGCUAAAUCUGGAAGUCUGGAAAGAGUAGCCGUGGCUACGAGCUCAAAAUACCUGCUUUACAUGACUGAAAUAUGCCACCAUUCUAUAUAUAUUUGUCACAUAAGAGAAUCUAGACAAGAUUACUUCGAAUGCAUUUUUAAUCAACCUUUGCGUGCACUGUUUGGUUGCUUCUGCCUCAAUUAUCAAGCAACUAUGUUAAACCAGACUCGAGUUAGCCCUGCUGUACCUGUGUCCUACUCUUCAUUUUGCACUAGAGUAGCUGUUUUUUGGGGGGGGCGCACCCAUACCCAAGUCCAGGAACAUAGUCAAGCUAGCUAACAUAUUUGAUAGUGGCUAGUAUGCGAUUUGCCUAAUAGUGCACUUAGUGUGAACAAUGAUUUUCGGCCUGUUCAUAAGAUGUUGCAAUUUAUUACCAUUGGUGCAUGAGAACGUGAUUAAGAAAGGACUGUUCUGUGUCAUCCUACCUAGCCCUAGACCCCUGAUGAGGAAAUUAUUAAGAUGAGGAGAAAGUUCAUAAGCUCCUAUUUAGUUGGCAUCUUUCAAACAAAUAAUGCACGUAUUAACUUCAAAGUUAAUCUCUUGUGAAAUGUUACCUUUACAAGGUUUUGUAUACUAAAUGUUAGGGGAUUCAUCCCUUUAUAACGGAAAUUUGCCUAAAAUUGCAUUGAUUCUUCUUCCUGCUAUCUUUCCUCUGUGAUUUGGCAUGCCAUGCUCCUAACCAGAGUUGCCACCUGCUUACAAUUUUAACUAAUGAUGUCAAGAGCAGUUCCAGAACUAUCAUUUGGGCAAGGUUGGGGUUUUGUCAGGGGUGGUGUAAGGAGGGGUGGAGGCCCAGGUGCUAGGUCCUGCUGCAUAUUUCUUAUGUGUCUUUUUAUGCUGUGAUGUUUCAUAGCCCAAGAGAAGCAGGUUAAAUGCAAAUUGUUUGCCAUUAUAAUGGCGUUAAGCUUUUGCUUCAAGUGUCAAAAGGCAUGAUAGUGAGGGUAGGUUAUUUGAGAGUAAAAAAAAAAAGAAUUUGGCUUGUACCAUGCCCUAUAGAUUAUAAUUCAGAAAGACUGUUUUCUCUAACAUUUAUUUGAUGACUACCUAUAAAGAGAUAGGCAUUGAAAUUUUAUAUUGGUGUCUUAAUUUACAUGUGACUUUUAGUAGUAGGAAUAUUUGUCUAAUUAUUGAGGUUUUCUGCCUGCAAUUUGUAGGUAUCGGCUCAAUGAAGAAAAAGCAGAAUGGAUCAUAUAUGUAACUGAUGUUGGCCAGAGGGAGCACUUUGAAAUGUUUUUUGCUGUAAGUAAUUCAUAUCCCGAUAGAUGCUGCAUCCCACCCCCUAACCCUGGAAAGGAAAAAAUUUAUUUGUUUGAUCGGUUGAUCUUUGUGCAAUUAUCUUCUAUUCUAGGCUGCCAGACGGGCAGGUUGGCUUCCAGCUGAAGAAGAUAAGUAUCCCAAAGUCAGCCAUGUGGGUUUUGGUCUUGUUUUAGGAGAAGAUGGAAAGAGAUUCCGUACGCGAGCUACUGAAGUUGUUAAACUAGUUGAUUUACUUGAUGAAGCUAAGAAUCGGUGUAAAGCAACUCUGAUUGAAAGAGGUAAGGAUGUUAUCGAUGAACUGUUUUUCUUAAUAUGUGACCUCUCAGGCUACUUUUGGCACAUAUCAUGCUCGAGUUUUGUCAAUGCCUCCUUUCUACUCCACUUUCACCCUGUAAGUAUCUGAAUAACCUUUAACUCCUUGAACCAUGAUAAAUGUUUGAAUAUUGAUCAGGCAAAGCUGAGAAAUGGACUGGGGAGGAGCUUGAGCAAACUGCUGAAGCUAUUGGAUAUGGGGCUGUAAAGUAAGUUCCUAUUGCUUGUCCACUUGUUUGUUCGCACUUUCUUGAAGUUUCCCCACUUCUAAGUUUUAUCUUAAUAGUGAUUUUGUUGGAUGUUAAUCAGGUAUGCUGACCUAAAGAACAACAGGUUAACCAACUACACGUUCAAUUUCGAUCAGAUGCUUAAUGACAAGGUGCGGCGCUUGAUUUCUUCUCUUAUGCAACCAGUAUUCAUGUUUUUCUUUAUAAUGCAUUUCUCCUUAUUCUUCCAAAGUUCUGCAUUCUUUGUUCAUUACAUCAAACAAGAAAUAGUUGGCUCCUCACCAAUAUAAUUUCUGAAUUGCAUAUUGUCACUUGAAGUCUUCAUGACUAUGCCUAUCAAUCUAAUUACCCAUCUUGUUUCUACAAGCCUCUGAUGCUUUUUUUUUUUUUUUAAAUAAAUCUUCUACCCUGUUACCAUACAUAUAGUAUUGCUUGUUUUUAUAUUGAACAGGGAAAUACUGCUGUCUAUUUGCUGUAUGCACAUGCUCGAAUUUGUUCAAUCAUCAGGAGAUCUGGUAGAGAUGUAGAGGAGUUGAAAAAGGUAGAGGUUCUUCUUCUUCUUCAUGCUUACAACAGUAGAGUAUUUGAAUUAUAAUGGUGAAUUUUCCAAUGUAUUCUUCUAUAUUCAAGAACCUUGAUCACGAAGUCAACUUUGGUGAUUAGCCAGUAUGAUUUUGUUGGAUUACAAAGUGGAAGAAGUGGUUUCCAAUGAUUUUACUCAAUAGUAAACACCCCAUCUGCAAUUCGUGUUUUGUGUGUUGUACACGUGUUCUGCACAUGUCUCUGCCUUGUCUGAUGAACGACUUGGUCUAAUGUACACAAAUUUUUUUGGAUUGAAGAGUAAAGUUCAGUCCUUAACUUAGAGGAAGAAGUCUAGAAGUUAAGAAUCAAGUAAUAAAUUCAGAGCCUUUGCUAACUCAGAGCCUUUGGAGUAGAAGUUUCAGAUUAGAGCUUUAUGGUGAUAAUCUGCGACUUAGAACUCAUAUGCUUUCUGCUCUUACUGUGCUAUCAGAUGAAUUGACUAUCCAUUUGGAUUUUUAUUUGUUGCUCUUUUUCUCUUCUUAUGAAAAAGUGCUUAUGAUGUAUUACAAGAAUGACAAUCUUUUUUGGAUUUAUUCAAAAGCCUAACCCUACUCUGUUUUGGAUAAAGCAAUGCAGCUUCUUUGAAAUUUUCAGUAUUUACUGAAAAUUGAACCUAGCCUUGGAUGACAGUCUUCUGUCUAUAAAAAAUCAACUAGGAGCCUGCCCGAGUAUUUUUUCAGGGAAUGGUGGCUCGAUGCUGAGAAAUAUGCUUUGCCUGGAAUGCUGGCUUCUUACAUCAUACUUCAUCUGUUUUGGGCAGGUUGGAACAGUUGAUUUGGCUCAUCCAGAUGAACGGGUUUUGGGGCUUCAUUUGCUACAGUUCCCAGAGGUAUGCCUCAAGACUGCAGAUUUUGCAAAAAUUUAUCUGAUUGAUAUAGCUUUUUUCACUUAAAAACAUGUUGCAUCUUGUUAAUGUGUUCCUUUUUCACAUUGCAGGUGGUUGAAGAGGCAUGUACAAAUAUGUUGCCAAACAUUUUGUGUGAAUACCUGUACAAUUUGUCUGAAGACUUCACAAAAUUUUAUACGAACUGUCAGGUAUGGAGCCCAUAUAAUGAUGAGAUGAAGAGGAUAAAAUUGGAAGAUAAUGCUUGUCUUAAUCUCAAAUGGCUUCAAUGAGUACCUUGCAUGUUUUAUGGUUUCGAAGUUGUUACAGGCGUUUGAUUUGAAUUUGUCCUGGUGAAAAAUCUGUAGGUGGUUGGGUCACCACAGGAGAUCAGUAGACUCUUGCUUUGUGAGGCAACUGCAGUUGUCAUGCGAAAGUGCUUUUUUCUGCUGGGAAUUACACCUGUCUAUAAAAUUUGAUACCUUGAGAGAUACAUUUGCCGACCUCUAAUUUGUGGAUUGUUAUACAAAGUUUGUACCUCACCGUGGCAUUUUUUUUUUUUACGUGAUGAUUAUAUUCUAGGAUAAGACGAGCCUUUUGCUCCUAUCUAAUGAAAGCAGUUUUAAAAUUUUUUGGAUUGAUUUCUACGAGUUACUGUCUGUAAAAUUUAUACCUUGUGUUCCAAUAAGCUUGUGCAAUUUGUCGCAUUGCUGUUUGUCACUGCGGUUGUUUAAUACGGAAGCGAGUUUGAGAUCCGGUACGUAAAUGUCGAAGUAAACUAGGGCUUCCCAUAUGGGGGUGGUCUAGGGGCUUCAUUAGCAUAUGUAGAUUGGAGUAAACCAAAGAAGGUAAAUAUAUCGAGCAUUAUGAGUAGGCAAUUUUGCAUAUGAUUCUGAAAAGCAUAAUAGUUAAGACUUAAGACUCUUGGUGGCCUUAGCUGCUGGGGUCUGAGGAUAUUGAACUCCCGGGAAUAAAUUCUCAAAAAGCAAAAAAAAGAAGAGGAGGUGGGGGGCCGGGGUAGGGGGAGUGGGUUUUGAUUAUUCUCCCUGAAGGCAACGGAGGCACGAGGUGGAAAACGGGUGGCGCGGUUUGAUACGAAACUGAUUGAGCAGCUGGCAAACGAAAAAAUUGAGAAGCUGUCCGGGCCCCCCUUGUCCGUUCUGGAGGGCCCCUAGGCCUGAGCUAUCUGUUCCAUCGCUGAAGUCCUUCUGAGCAGGGCAGUAAACAGAAUUAGCAAUUCCGUAGCAACUUUUGCUAUGGAUUUUCUGAAAGAUGAAUAAUUUCUCUUUUGUAAACCAGGCAGUAAAACAGAGUUAAUGAUAUCAUAGCAACGUUUGCUGUGGAUUUUAGAAUGUAAAGUUGGAGCGAUUUUUUCAUCCUGUGGAUCGAAUAUGCGCCACAGGGAACGAAUUGGGCAGGUACGCGAUCACCGUACUUGAUUCAAAAGGUGGUUUGUGUGGACGGGCAAAGUUAUUUUGAGUAGUUUCACAGUGCUCAAAUUUCACUUUUAUCAGGCCACACGCAGGCCGCUAGACUAUUGUACCUGUUUAUUUCUUUUUUUUUUUUCGUUUUUUUUGGGGGGGGGGGGGGGGUGUUGGAUCCACAUUUUAACGGCAGAGCAAGGGAAUACCUAGUUAAUGACUUCUUGACAGAAAAAAAAGGGAAUACCUAGUUAAAAAUGCUAGGGUUCAAAAUUUUUUGAUUAAAUUUUUAUGUUAACUUGUAUAGUACUUAGUUUAAAAUUUUAUAUUCUUAUUGUUUAAUUAUUAAAUAGUAUGUAAUUUUGUUACAUAGAGUAUGAAUAGAAAAAAAUUGAUAAUUAGACUUAUUGAACAUUAUAAGUAAAUAUUUAAAACUAAUGAUGGGUACAAAGAAUAGUAUAAAUUGAUAAUUUAGUUUGCAAAAAUGAAUCUAAAUGAGUUUAAAAAAGUUAAAAUAAAUGGAUAAUUGCAUUAUUCAAGUCAUUUUUUGACUUACCCAUAUAAUUAAAUAGGUACAAAUGAAUUGAGUCACUCGUACCAUUACCUAUUUUACUUAACCCAAACCCGUGUAAGUCACCCAUUUUGACACCUCUAAUCUCUAGAUUUCUGCUAUGUAUUGUUUACUAUUUCGAUGGUUCCUUGCAAAUUCUGCUUUCUUACUUCUGUAGUCCAUUUUACAUCUCUAGAUUUCUGCUAUUUAUGUAUUGUUUACUAUUUCGAUGGGGUUGAGAUAGAGAGGCGGAAAUAAAAACCUGUUUGCUUCAUUCUACACAUAUAUGACCUCGACUCGUUUAUCUUAUACGGUUUGAAAUUUGAAGAAAAUUUCAAUGGAGAAAUAUUAGAAAGCUUGCAAUAAAAAUACAUGCAAGCUUCUUAAAUUAAGUGAUUUACAGAUUAACAGUCUUUUUGCAGGGGAAUGGGAUGCCGACAACUGCCAACAAAACUCGCUCUACUGCCAAAAGAAGAUAGAAAUGAUGAUCCCAUUCCCCUGGAAGAAGACUUCUUGGCUAUGACAGCCUUUGGACCAAUCUUUCGACCAACUAAACCUGCAUAGCUCUUACAUGGCUUCAUCCUCUGACCAUAAGGACUAACUUUCUUUGCAAGAUCUUCGAGGCUCUUCACAUUUGCCAAAGAUGUAAAAGACUGAGACUUUCCUUGAUAAUGUUCUGAGAGACCUCUCCUGAACGAACAAAAUUCAUACACCAUUACUUGAAUGAAGAACCUAAAGAUUAAUAUAUUGAACAGUUGCAAGUCUAACUCUUCGUUCGGUACAUCACAAAUAUAUCGAAUGCUUACUUGAUAGGCAGCUGGUUCGUAAGCUCCGACAACUCGUACAACGGCCCAUCUGAAGGUGAUGUAGAAGAUGGUGACGAUGUUGGAGAAGAUGAUGCAUCCUCUGCUAAGUCUGAUGAAGAAGAUGAUGCUGCGGAGUUAUUCCCCGAGUCUUCACCGAUGGAUUCAGAAUCACAGGAAGUGUCAUCCUCAGCCUCCGUGAUCACCCACUGAACAUGCCUUGGAUCAGGGCCGGCGAAGGUAUUCUUGAAGGUCAUUUCUUGAUAAACCUGAUUUGCUCCACCCAUUGCAGAUCACAAUCUUGGAAUGAACGGAUCAGGAGAGCAGCAGAGCAAAUGGAUGAUGAAAACUUGAUGAUGUACUAUUUUGUUUCAGGCUUCAGCAGGGGUUGAAACUCGUAUGAGCUAGGCCUCUGGGGACUUAAUUAUGUAUAUAUACGUAUAUUAAUUUACAGGGUGGGUUAGUUAGCAAGAAGUUGAUUCUAACAAAUAGGAUGUUAUUGAAGCAAUAUUAACUUUUUAAGUUUUAUGACAGGGGCGUUACAAAUUACAUGCAUGAGCUACGCGUUUUUUUGUUUUUUUUUUUGUUUAAUUGAUGAUAUGUUGCUUUAUCCUCAGGCUUGUAGUCAUCUGUCAUUGUCAAAAUUCAUAUGGUUUGAAGAAUUUCUUCCUUUUUCCCAUUCUACAAGGAAAGGGGAUAAGGUUAUGGUCCAAAACGAAGACAUCCGUAUGAUCCGAGUCACCAAUGACCAACCCAUCAUAUUAUCCUCAAAUUUCUAUACAGGGAAAAAAAUAAAAUAAUAUAUAAUCUUUGGCAUCCUCUGCACUUUUUGCCCCAUAAAGUUACGACAUAACUGUUUUAUCCGUUUCUUUUUGACAUUUUAAGGCAUUGAUCCACAGUUUAGGGAUAACGCCAAAGAGGGAUCUCUAAAUUAAAGAAGAAACCUUCUUGGCGUAAUGACGAUAUAGAACAAUAAUUAUGAUAAUAAAAGACAACAAAUGGUGGAAAGUGGAGAAAGGAUAAGCCAUGAUUUUUGAGACCUGUUCUCGGUGAGCAUUUCAUCUAGCUGAAGACCCGAUUGCCUCUUACAAUUAUUAUAUUAUAUAUAUUUUUUCCAUUCUCAAUUUUGGUAGGAUCAACUUAUCUCUACGCUAAUCAUAAAAAAAAAAAAAGCUUUAUUGAGAUAUGUAAGUAAUUUGAGCAUAUAUAGUUGCAGCCAUAGAAACAAAUGCCUAUUUGAUUGUAGGCAUAGAAACAAAAUGCCUUGAUAUGUGCUGUUAUUAUUACACUCCUAAAGUCUAUUGUCAAUGUAACUCCCUCUGCAUGUGCAUGUGCAAUGAUCCUAAGUAUUAUUUUAUAGAGUAUUAUUUAGAAUAAUAACUAUAGUAUUUUUUGUAAUGUGACGUAUAUAAAAUAUAAAAAGAUGAAUUGAAAAAUAUGUUUAUCAUGCAAACGAAAGAUUAUUUGAGACAAUUUGCUAUCCAAACAAUACCAACUAUUGUUUAGUCAGCUUGCCCAUUCGUGACCAUUAAUUCCUCAUCCACCAAGUAAAACAAAGGCCAAUGGCCACUGCCCAUUUGGUCCAUGGUCAUCACCAUUUUUGGUGAUGCUGGAGGUUACGGGUUCAACCCCUGCCUUUCACAAACUUAUCACUUUACGUGGUUGGUCUUUUGCUAUCCGCUCCUCCUCCUUAAAGUAUGGCGACCUUCUUGACUUAUCCAUGGUUCGAGUCAAUGGGGCUUCCUCUCCCCGACAGCAGGCCCUGUGUUGACAAAAAAAAAAAAAAAAAAAAAGAGUAAAACAACGGCCAAUGGGGGAGGCCAAUAGCGUAACAGUAACAAUUUAAUGGCUUCUUUAAUGGAUGUUCAAUACGCAUUUGUUAACACAUUUAAAUCUUAACGCCUACAUUAUCUUUUCUUGAUGUGAUGCAACUUUUUUAAAAUAAGAUCUAACGCACGAUGAUAUUCAUAAUUUAAUUGAAGACGUCACGAUCGAGAAACAUCAUUAUUGUCAUUAAUAGAAUAUUGUGAAGCCUAAUUACAUCAUCCGGUGAGAUCCAAUCAAUCAAUAAUAAUUAAUGCCAAGCGAGUGACUGUUAUCAAAAGGAGAGAAAGAAGUCGGCAUCGAAAUGGUAGCUUUUGGAUCGAGGCUUCCGUGGCAUCAGAGGAUUGAAUUUAAGGGGGCUUGGGAGUUAAUGAGUGGGGAGAAAGGGAACAAGAUAAGGAAGCUGACUGUAGCAUUGGUCAUGAAAUGAAAGCUUGAGCUGCGUGGGAUUGGGUGCUUCUCUCUGGCACCACACAAGUCGCUGUUGUAUGGUUUCUGCCUCUUACCCAUGAUUAAAUUCCCUGUUCCACGGUCCGUAGCCCACAGCUUCAGCCUUUGCCAGCUCCCCCCCCCUCUUAAUGAUAUGAUCGUUUUGCAUUUCAAAAUAGGAAAAUCACUUAGAACAGAAAUAAAUUGAAAGAUGACGCAUUUUUUAAAAUUUAGGAAUUUUCGAAAUUUUUAAUUGCUUUUUAUAAAUGAACUCUUCAAUGAAGGAAAAUAUAUAGACCCUAAAAAGAGAAAAUGGUGGAUCAAGUUGAAGUUUUCAAGUGCUUCUCUAGUCUAAAUCACAUAAAUAAAUAAAGUUGAACAGAAAAUUGCGAAUUUGUUUAAGUCGUCUUUCUAACGCAUCAUUUUUAUUUGUAGCACCUUCUUCCCCACAAUUCCAACUAAACUCCUUAGCCAACUUGGAGCUACUGAAGCUGACUAAAUCCACCAGCAAAGUCCAAAAUUUCUAGCAGGGCCUCGAUCAUCCAAGAAGACAUCCCCGCUUCCACAUAUACGAGUAGCAAGGUCGCUCAGAAGACCUUCACCCCUCAAGAAGUUUCUUAUGUCAUAACAAAAUUUGUUAUUUAUUUCUGCCCAUUUCUUCCAGUGAGGGAUGAGGACUUCCUUUGCCUUAAUUUCACGAGGAUCCCAAGAAUCUGCAAUUAUCUUCACCUUUGAAAGUAAGAGAUCAAAAGCUAUUGCUUCAACCAAAGGUGGGCGUGACAAGUACUCCCCAUGAAGCUGAGCCACUUCCUCUAUUUUUCUCGCUACUCAAAGAUUUCCCUCAAUUUGGAUGCAAAAUGGUUACCGUCUUACUUUCCGUAGAAAUCUUAUUGUGUACUUUUAAAAAAGCCCCUGCCUCGCCAUUGGUUUCUGUACAGAAAUAUGUGUUUUAGGUGACAACACCUAGGUCCUAAAUUGGCACGAGAAUUUUAGUUAAGGGACUUAAUUCAUGCGAUAAAAUAUCGAGGGACCAAAUCGAUUUUAGUGAAAUAAUUUGAGGACUAAAUUGACAAUUUUCCCAAUAAAUAAAGUUGAAGUUUCAAAUGGUUUGACUGACACCGAAUGGUGGCUCUAUAACUGACUCAACUACAAGUCUGAUCCAACACAUCAAGUUGUGAGCAUAUGCUUCUUCUUCAUGUUUUAAUAUAAGCUAUAAUGCAUUUUCUUUUUUUUUUUUUUCUUUAUUUCACGUGUACUCUUAUGUAAGCACAAGCAGAACCAGAAUUUGAGAUUUUAAGAAAGCAAAAUUAGUAAGGAUGUAGACUCGGGAGGGCACAUGUACAAUUGUGUAAAAAAAAAAGAAAAAAUUGGAGGACAAAGUCCAAUAUUUACAAUCAAAUUGUUUGGUUUGCACCUUCUUUACAAUCAAAUGAUAUGAGUGAGACUUUUAAAUACUUUAUGGGGGGUCAAAAUAAUUUGUAAACUUUUGGAAGGGCAGAGUCUAAUUUUUAUGAAGGUAUAUUAGGACAAAAAAAUAAAAUAAAGAGAGAGAGAGAGAGAGAAAAAAUUCAACUAUUACGGGAACAUAGACCAAUUUCUAAAAUCCUGGGGGACAGCUGCUCCACUUACGUCCGCUGAUGUAAACAUCUGUCGUAAAUGCUCAUCCUUUAUUUGUGUCAUAGUACCGGAAGCAUUAGAAAAAGACAACAACGAUUUAACUCCACACGCUAUAAUGAAAGCCUCCAAGCUUCUUGACUUAGCAGAAGCAAAGAUGGUCUUACUUGACAGGAAUAUUCGGUCCACUUAUCCAAGAAAUCAAGCCGAGUUGUAACGUGCAAAACAAGUAUAUCCUGGAUCAAAUGGCUCCAUCACUUGAAACAAAUAGACAGAACGGGGGAAGGGAAAAAAAAAAUCAAGUUCUACGAUCUGAUGUUAAUUUAAUUUUACUGACGCAGUAAUUUAUUUCUCCCCAACUCCUUGAGAAAGAAUAGACAUACGGAUGGAGGAUUUAGGGCCAUAACGGUACAAGUGAAUGUGACUUAAAAACUUGUACAGCCUAGAUCAUGCAAUUUUUGAUGUAUGCUUUAUGCCCUCACUCCAAGGCCCAAACUAAAUCGCCCAUGGUGCAGUCUGUAUAUGAAAAACUUAAAAACCGGAUACACCUGUUUUUGCCUUCGACAGAACGCUGAAAGCUCCAAGCCAAGGCUAAGGGAUAUCGUGCAAACCACAAACCAAUAAGCAUUAAUGUCCUGCUGCUGUAAACCUACUGUGACAAGGCUAGUAUUAGCUACCCCAGAAGAGCAGCCUAAAAUUAAAUUUAUAAACUCGCACAAGUCCGCUGGCUGCUUAAAAGAAUUUUGGCUGCGGCUGCUAAACUAUGAAGUUUUAACCUGCACAGACUAAGUAGUGCUAAAGUUAUAGAAGCAACAUCAUCUGCUCUCAUUCCACUACAAGCUAAACGCCUUCAAAUGGUCUAUGAUCACCUAUAAAUGCCAUUCUGUCCGCGCUUGAGAAAACGUGUAGAGGUGUAUGACAAUAUCAGGCUUUUACAUAUCAUGUUUUAUCAGACUUUUACAAUAUCAGACUUCUACGUAUCAUGUCUGAUAAGUUUGCAACCAAUAAAAUUUUGGGAAAAUUUAGAAGAAUUAAACAAUGUGUAGUUGUAAUCUUCGAGCAUGACUUGCGGCUAAAGCAUAUGGGGAAAAAUAUUGUACUCUGAAGUCAUUACAAGCAAAUGAUCAUCUAGGAAAACUUAUGGGAGGUUCCAAGCUAGCUACCAGAAUGCCAAGAUCAAUGUCCUUGUCUUCAAACUUCUUAAGAAAAGGAUGGUUCUGGAAGCAAUGGAGCAAAUCAAGCAGUCAGCAUUUGCAUAUUGGAGCACGGUGACCAAAAGAAAGACUAAAAGAAGUGGGUAGUUAACUAACCAAAAGGUCCAGAGAUGAGGAUCUGUCCCUCGGAUCCUUCUGUAUGCUGAAAAAGCAAGCCACGAUAACAAAGCAGAGCAUCAUUAGGAGAGAAGGUAUGGGCAACAACAUGGAUACAUUGAGAAACCCACUGCUACGUCACUGAUCCAACAUAGAACUAUAAGAAAGUAUCCUCUAAUGCUAAAAACUCGCACUUUUUUUUAGAAUAAUUGCAGCAGGUUUCAACCAAAAGUCUUAAGAAUUUAAGGUCAACUUAAAGACAGAGUAAUGGAAUAGUCAAACGCAUUCAGUCGAAGGACCAUAAAGAAGUAGAUAAGAGUGUUUACUGCAUAUGUGCAACAACAUAAACGAAUCUUCUUAGACCUUACCAGGCAGAGAUAAAUGAACAAAACUCUGGGGAGAAUUGAUCUGGUGGAGCAGAAGGUGGAGAGCCUCCCACAAUUGCUUCUAAAAGCUCAUAAAAGCUUGGCCAACCCUGCUGGUCUUCAGAUUGUAUGUAAGGGAAACGUCCAAUAGCACACUCAAGGGUAACCAUGCCCAGACUCCAGAUAUCACUCUUGUAGUCAUAGGUGCUCCCACUAAUUCUUUCAGGCUAAAUAUGAGAUGAGAAAGGAGAAACAAGUCACCAAACCAGAAUUAGGCCUCUAGAUUUUCCACUCAAAACAUUUUGCUGUUGCACAUCAGAUGUUUAGUAUGUUCUACACAAUGUGUACCAAUAGCCACUGUAAAAAUUAAUGGAUCAAUUUUUCAUGAUCAUAUCUCCACUCACCGCCAUGUAAUUAUAGGUACCAACAAAUGUGUCUCUUUGACCCAUAGAGCUGGCCAGCAUUGCGCUCACACCAAAAUCUGUAAUUUUGACCUCCCCUUUGUGGUUCACUAGCAGAUUGGAUGGCUUUAUAUCUCUAUGGAUUACAUGUCUCUCAUGGUGCAAGUACACGAGACCUUGCAAAACCUGAACAUAUUAAAAUUUCACAUAUCCAUGGUGAGCAGAAGUUAAGCUUAUAUACUUUCGGAAGAAUCUCAUGUUUCAGUUUUUCCUACCUGCUUACACAGGACUGCAAGAUACGGUUCAAGAACUGUCUUCACUUGUCUGAGUACAUCAGCUAAAGAGCCACGGUCCAUAUACUCCAGUACAAGCGAGAUAGCCCCAUUGUGGUAGAAAGAAUGGUAGCAAACCACAACAUGGGGACACUGUGAGCCUUGAUUAAUUUUAAGCUCCUGCACAAUUUGUUUCCGAAUAUCUUCUUGUAUAUUCAUCUGGAUGACCUGUGCUUAGACAUGCACUCUGGAGUUAGAAUAUCUAAAGCAUCAUCAGUACAGAGCUAAUGUGUCAAGAGACGUGACAACAAAAAGCCAGUAGCUAAUGCCAGUCAUUUUAGGAAGAGCUCAAAGCUUCCAUGUUCAGUAUCAGGGUCCUUCAAAACUAUUCAAAUGUUAGAUAUCUUAAGUAUGAUUGACCAAAAUCACCUUUACACCUCCCUAAUAAAGCAACUCUAGUAAAAGUUUCUAAUCAUUGGUUUAUUCAAUUAGCAAAUAAUCCACUAAUUUCAUAAGAUCAGUAUCAAACACUGUGCUGUAACAUUCGAUAUGCAUAACAUGCAAGAAUAAUUAUUCAUUAAUUGCACAAGUGCGUAAAAACAUGACUAAAGUUGUGCACUUAGAGAAGUGAUCUACUGAAACAAUCAACGUGCUCAAGGAUAACAAAGUAGCAGGAAACUGAAGUUGUAUGCUGACCUUCAAGGCAAAUAACGUUCCAACCCAUUUAUGACGAACAAGUUGAACCACGCCACCACUUCCCUUUCCAAUCACUUUGAUGGUCUCAAGAUCUUCCAGUGAAAAUUGAAGAUCAAAUUCCUUACUUUCUGCAGGCUGCCCACACAAAUAUUCAAUUUGUCACAUCUUCGGCUUCCUUUUCCUUGUUCUUUUUCAUUCAAAAGAGAAGCAUACUAUCACGUGCAAACAAUAGGUUCCCUAUACAACCUAAAAUGUUUCAUGAGUUUUAAGUGAUGCAAAGUCAAGGAGAUGCUUGAGAGAAUGAUACAUCCUCCAUUAGUCAAGUUGCAAACCUUUUUGCUGUUCUAGUCUUCUUUUUUUCUCCGUUCUCUUUCUUGGAAGUUGUGUAGCAAAUAAUGGAAAUGGCACAAACUACUGAACUUUCAAAUGAAAGCAAAACAGAAGUCCUAAAACAGUUCGUAUCAUAUUCUGAGGGCAAUAGUCAUCUGAAAUCCACCAAAACAAGCUAUUUGAGAUGGAUUUGGGACAUGAAAACACGAAAAAACAAAAAUUAAUAUAAAAUAUAAAGCAAUGUAUGUGCUGCACCUAUAACUGAAAUAUUUGUGGAACGUGUUUGACUUGCCAAUGUAGUAUUAAUGAGUGUCAUAUUUGAUGUGAUUGUCCUAUUUCAUUUAUUUUUCGGUAGCUAUGGCCAAGCCUUUAUGUAAAAAGGCAAAAAUAGGUUCAAAUUUAAGAAUUCUACGUAUACAAACUUUUAAGUCUGUUUUGAGAUGUAAUCCACAUAUUCAAAAUUAUAAGAACUGAAGUGAAAUCAGAUACAUUAUACGAAAUCUAUAAUGCAUUGUUCUCUUUUAUAUCUUGUUUUCCAAUUCCGUUCCAUCUACCAACCGGACUGGAAACAGCGUCAUAAUGGAAUUCACAUCAAUUAAGCAUUUCUUCAGAUCUUCAAUUUUGGACUCAAUUGAAGCUUCUUCCCUCGCAAAAUAAAUGAGAGUGUUCAAUCCACGGAUAAAACAACCACGUGUGUAUCAGCCACGUCUUAAUUAGUACGCUUCUAAUUACGUCCAAUUUCAAUCUUCCAUUAAGUCCUCAAAACUAGAGCAUUUUAUCUAAAGCUCUAUGAUAUCCGAUCACACCAAAUCGAAAUCGAAAUGCCGAAAAAUUAUUACCUGAGGAGGAGAAUCAUUGUCAUCGGAGAUAAGGCGCAAACCUUUCUGGUUUAACAGUAAAUCGCCGUCGUGAAAGGUUCCGCUCGCGGUCCUACCAUGUUUAACAACACAUCAUUUGACAAAUUCCAUCACUUUCAUGAAUUUCCCCCCAAAAAAACUAGCGUAAUAAACGAGAAAAAUUUUAAUUAAUUUAGAUUUGUCAGCGUACAAAUAUUAAAGGGAGAGAUUAUGGAGCGUACAAGAAGCUGGAGACGGAUGUAUCUUGAACCGGAACAGAGAGCUUGAGUUCCUUCACUGGCUUCUUAAGCUUCAUGAUUCUUGCUUCUAUAAUUAAAGAUAGGGUUUGGACUGAAAAGUUUUUGGAGAGAAAGGAAAGUAGGGAAUGAAUGGGGGAGGAAUUGGGUGUGGAGCAGAGGGAAGGGGUGACAAAAUCCACCGACCGAAUUUGGGGAAGAGAGGAUUCAAACUGGGAAGAGCGCCAAAAGCCGUGUUGCUGUUACCAAUUUAUUGUGACGUACGAUAUAUUCUUGGGUUAAUUACAUUUACCUCCCUUGAGGUUUGACCAAAUAACGAAUCGAUCCCUGAGAUUUGGCCAAAUAACAGUCCACCACUUUGAAUAACCAGACAUUUAACAAUUACCCACCUACUGUUGAGAGACGUUAGAGAUUCUACUUGACAUCAGGAAAAAGAAAACUUGGGAUGACGAAAUUGCCUUUAUUGUGUCCAACUGUCAUUAAGAUUUGUUCAAGUUUUGAAAAUAUCCUUUUCAUUAAAAAAUAUAUAUAUAUAUAUGUAUAAUAUUAAGAUUAUAAUUCUUUAUCAUUCACAUCCGCGCACUUGCCUACCUUUAUAUGUACAAAAAGAAAGAACAAAAAGACUUCCUCAUUGCCUACCUUUAUCUGUACAAAAUGAGAGAAGAAAAAGACUUCCCUGUUUUUUCCCAAGUUUGCUGAAAAUUGCACUUCCUUCUGUGUUCCAAUCUUCUCAAGAUUCUCAGAAAUAGUCUUCAUACUUGGUUGAACUUCAGGUCUGCCUCCGUGCAUGCAAGCGCUAAAUGAAACACUGCAAGUACUUCUUUCUUCGCAUGUACUUAUUUAAGCAACAUUGGGUCUACCAUGUCUGAUAGAGGGUUCUCCUCUUCAAAUCCCUUCCUCACUCCACCUUACUAGGUCUGGGAUCUCCGUGGAAGUGGAUGUCGUAGGAGAUGAGAGCUCUGGAGACUUCCCUGUCAGCAACUCAAGCAAGACAACUCCAAAUGAGUAGACAUCCUACUUUUGUAGGGGUAUGCAUCGAAUUCGAAAUCGGUAAUUCGGAAGUUUGAAUUCGAAAUUUUUUGAAAUUUUGGUAUCUGACUCGAUUUCGAAUUCACAAAUUCCGAAUUCGAAUUCGAUUCGAAAUUUGGUAAAUUCCGAUUUCACCGAAUUCGAAAAAAUUUAUAUAUUAUUAUAUAAUAUAAAAUUUAUUAUAUUUAUGAUAUAAUAUAAAAUUUAUAAUAUUAUAUUAUAUUAUAUUAUAUUAUAUAAAUUUUAUAUAAUAUUAUAUAGUAUAAAUUUUAUAUUACAUGUAUAAAAAAUAUAUUUAUAUAUUAAAAACGAAUUUGAAUUCGAAAUCAGAAAUUCCGAUUUGUAAAACUCCAUUACCGAAUUCGAACCAAAUUCGAAAUAUAUGAAUUCGGAAAACCCAAAUUCGAUUCCGAUUUCCGAUUUACCAAUUUCGAAAAUUCCGAAUUCAAUUCGAAUUCGGUCGGUAAAUCGAAAUUUUUCGAUUUUGCACACCCCUACACUUUUGGGUAGGUCGGUUGCCAGGGAUCUGAGCUUUCGGUGAUUGAUAAUUGUUGGGUCGCUCGGGUUGAGCUGAUUUUAAAGAUGGAAGACCCCACCUAUGAAUACACCAGACGAUGAAGGAUUGUUGCUUGUGAUAUUGAUCAGGCGGUUCAGGCCGAAAUCAGAAAUGCAAGCUUGAAAAUCAUUGUCAAGGAGAAUAUUAAAGGGUUUUAUGUCUCCAUGGACAAAUUUUCUGGGGCUACAUUCAUGAAGAUAUGCUAAGCCCCUCGCUGUUCCUUUAGCAAUUUUCAGCCUGCUUCCCCAUGAUAAGCUAGAUGAUGCCUGACCUGUUCUCCCUGCAUCGAUGUUACACAUCUUCAAUCAAAUAAUCAACCAACUUAACUCAUAUGAUACGACAUGCUGAUGUUAAUACUAGAUCUUGACCCAAAUUAUUUUAUCAGAUUCAUCUCCUACCUUACAAUAGGCCAAUAGAAAUGGCUAUCUGUAUUGUUUCUCGCUUAAAGGCUAAAAUGGUAAGUACAUAUUUCUAUUUUUAUAUCUUUAAAAUUUGAUGGAAAUUAAUAAGGGUUGUUCAAACUUUUGGCUAAUUCCGGGCUUGUUUGGAAGUCCAAGUUUUUACCAAGUUUUUAUUAUACUAGUUUUUUAACAACUUGUGCUACAGGAACCCAAAAAACUUAUCAAAGUUUUUUAACCUACACACUUAAAAUAUCCGAAACAAAAAAAAAAAAAAACUCCCUUCCCUUUUUCUUCUUCCUCCUUCCCCACCACUACCUCUGUCAACUGCUUCGUCACCGGCCACCACUUCCGCCGCCGGUUCCGGCGCCGAUCACCUUUUCCAGUGCCGAUUUUUUUUUCCUUUUUCUCUCUCCCUUUUUUUUUUCCUUUUUUCCUCUUCCCCCGCAAGUUUUUUUUUUCUCUCUGCGUCUCCCCCCCUCCUCCCCCACCACCCUCAGAUCACAUCGAGUGAGGGUGAGGGUGGCGGGGAAAGGGGGGAUUUGCCAAAAAAAAAAAUUUGACGGGUGGCGGGAUUCAGGGUGGUAAACAAGAAGGGGAAUAGGGGAGGGGGAAGGGGCCAAGGGGUGACGGGGGGAGGGGGAAGGUGGCGAGGGGGUGGCGGGGCAGUGAGGAUGGUGGGGAUAGAGGGGGAAAGUGGGCUGCUUGGAAGUCGCGGGGGGGGGUGGCAGAGGAAGGGCAAAGGGAGGGCAGAGGAAAUGGGGUGAGGGGGUGGCGGGGCGGGCGGAGGGGGAGAAGCAAAGCAGGGGGAAGACCGGGGGAGGGGGUGGCGGGGGAAGAGGGGAUGGCGGAAAGCAGGGGGAAGCGGGGUGAGGGGAUGGCAGGGGAAGGGGGAAAGCGGGCAGCGUGGGUGGCGGAGGAAGGGGGUGGCGGGGCAGAGGGGGAGAAACAAAGCAGGGGUUGGGGGGAGGUGGCACUGCUGGAGGCAGAGGUAACGGGUAAGGGAGAAGAAGAAGAAGAAGAAGAAGAAGAAAGAAAGAAAAGAGAAAGGAAAGAAAAAAAAAAGAAAGAGAAAAAGAAAGAAAAAAAAAAGAAAAGAAAAAAAGUUUUUAACCCUACAAAAACUUCUACAAAAUUUUUCUUCUUACAAAAAACUCCUACAAAAUUUUUUCAACAACUUCUACAGUGCACUACAAUAAAGUUUUAGACAAACUCCAAAAAAACUAGGUUCCAAACAGGCCCUCAAUUCCAUAUAAUUGACAAACUUAGCGUGGGAGAGUAAUUUGUUAUUUGGCCAAAUCUCAGGGAUCAAUUCGUUAUUUGGUCAAAGCUCAAGAGAGGUAAAUGCAAUUAACCCUAUAUUCUAUUCGAGGUAGAAACUAAAAUAGACGGAAAUUAUACUAAAAUUAUUAAAUAUGUACUUAUUUUAAAAUUUUAAAAUAUAUAUUUAAAUUUGUUUUAACGAAGACAAAUAGAUAUAUAUAUAUAUAUUUUUUUUUUUUUUGCAAAAAGUGAGAUGCUUAAAAAUUAGUCAUCCUUCCAAUAGAUAGUCCAAAUCAAAUAAUAAAAGAUUAAUUGAAUUGGGCAAUGAAAUACUAACGCUUGGUUGUGGCCUUGUUUGGCAAGCAAAUUUUUGCCAAGUUUAUCUGUUACAAAUUUUUUUAACAACUUAAUUACAGUAAUUUUAAAAAAUUUCUCAAAAUUUUUAAACUAUACACUUCAAAAUAUUUAAAAAUUUACACACUUUAAAUAUUUUUCUAAAACUUCUACAAUAAACUAUAGUAAAGUUUUAAAUAAAUAUAAAAAAAACUCACUUGUCAAACGGACCACAAUUUGAAAGUUCUAAUGUCCAAGCAUUACAAGUUGUGUUUGGAACCAUGAAGUACCAUAAACUUCUUUGUUCUACAAUGCACAAUUUUCGUUAUGAGUUUUGACCAACUAGUACUUCAAUACUUUUUUUCCUUUUUUUAAGUAGUUUGAAUAUUUGGGUGCAAAGCAUACACAUGUUUCUUUAUCCUAUUUCCUUUUAUAGCAAAUUGCCUUGCAAUCCACCAAAUUUUUUGAAUAAUAGAGCCUUGGUCACUCAAAUUUUAAGAGUAUAUAUUUACCCACUAAACUAUCAAAUGUAUAAAUUUGAACUAUUUUAUUUAUUUCCAUCAUUAAGUUUGCCAGAACUAAAGACUUGCACAAUAGUUUAGUGGUUAAAUAUAUACUCACACUAUAGUUUACUCGGUUAAUACAUGCUCGCACUAUUUUUUGAUGGAUAAAUAUAUUAUGAGCUUUCUAAAUUGCUCCUUGAUUAUGUCUCGUAACUCGUGCGAUACUUUAUAUAUGGUAGAUUCGAUAGUGGAAAUAGACAAAAUGGCUCGAAAUUUAUAUUUUUAAUAGCUUAGUAGAUAACUAUAUACUUUUAAAAGUUGAAUGACCAAAACUCUGUCUUUUUUUUUUCAAAAAUAUAGUGGGUAGCCAGAUAAUUUGUACUCUUUCAAAAAUAUAGUCGGCUUCAUAACUCAUCAAUCUCAUCGUUGCUGAGGUAUGACACAUCUCAAAUAAAACUAUUCACCCUAAUACUUAAUAAACAUACAAAUCAAAACAAUUGAUCAUCGUUGUCGCAAACCCCAUUUCCAACCACCACAAAUCCAAACGCUGGCGACCUUCCCCUAUUUUUCAUCUUUUGCUAUCUUAUUCCUUUUAUCUACACUUUCACACAAAAACACCUAUGAAGAUACAGAAAAAUCUAGAUAUACAGUGAAUCUUGCCUUUUAGAAGUUUUUUUGAAGAAGAGGAACCUAGAACAUGUGAAUGAGAGGUUAAAGAAGAUUUUUUAGCAGAAGACUUUAUAAGCAUCAAUACUGAAGCACUAAUUUUCCAUACGACGGUCUAAUUAAUGACUGAAAUCACUGCCAAAACAAGUUUUAUGAGAUUUCAUCUUCUUGCCAAUAUUCAAUUGUAUGAUAUGCGAUUGGUUCAAGAGAUAUGAUGAGUUCUUGGUACUCUCUAAUUCAAUUUGAAUUAUAGGAAUCGAAAGAAUUUGGCUUGCAGAUUGAUUAUGAUAAAUGUGAUACCCCAAAUUUUAGGAUACUAUUUUUGUUUAAUCUCAAAGAAAGGAUUACGGUUUCUUUAUUUUAUUUUGUCUUAAAACAUUAUUUUAUUUUAAAAAAAGAUUAGAAACCUUACUUGUACUUUAAAAUCCUAGUUUACUUGUGACUAGCAGGUUAUGUUUAAAUCCCUCAUAUUUGACUCAAAACCCUAAUUUUAUUCUAUGAAAUUGUAAAAUUCAUCACACUUUUCUUAAAAUUCUUUUUAUUUGGAAAUUAUUCAUUUAAUAUAAUCCUACUACUCAAUCAUUCCUCAAUAAGUGCAAAUGAACCUAGAAAGUAGGGUUUCACUCUUCGUUUUCAAGAUUGGAGCAAAUUAGAGUUUUCGCGAUUUUUCGCCGGAUGAUUUUUCGGUACGGAGCAAGGAUCAAAUUUGGUGAUUAAAAGUGACUUUUGGGUGAAAAAUAAUAUGUGAUUAGAUACAAUAAUAAAAAGUUAGUGAAUAGGAAGAAAAAAACCCUAGUACGGGUGAUUUAAGGAAAAUCGGCUCGAACUGACAGGUAUCGUUUGUUACCGGGUAGACACACCAUUUGACCCAUACUUUAUUACCUUAAUUUUGUCAUUUUAUUUUAGAUAAUUGACCCUCAAAAUAUCUCAUACAUCAGCCACAAUAUUUGACCAAGAGAAAUGAGAGAAAAUGCUAAAAAGAAACAAGUGUCAAGGCAUCUAUGGAAGUUGGACUUUGACCAACUUGUCUUAACCUUCAUAAAACAGAAAUUUGACCAAAAUUUCCUCAUUUCUUCCCAUUUUCUUAGUCUUGGUCGAAAUUCUUGAGAGGAAAAACAAGAGAGGAAAAAACUUCACCUUGCACCUCAAUUUCAAGCCUCAAUCUUGAGUUUCAACCGAUAAUCUUGCAAAUUCCUCCACAAAAGUUAAUCUCCAAGGAAGUUUAAGGGUUUUGGUGGAGUGAUUUGGGAAGAGGAAGGUCUUGGCAGCUUCUUGAUAUAGGGAUUAAGGUGAAUUUGGUAAGAAACUUCCCUCUACUUCUUAUAUGUGUGAACUAAAAGCUUAAAGUUAUAGUUUUGAUGGAUUUAUAGGAAAAAUUUCAUGGGUUCAAUGGUAUGUUGGGAUGUUUAACUAGGGUUUAUAUUUUCAGCAUUGAUUAUGGUUAUCUACAUCUUAAUUGAUGUUAUUGAGAUAGUAAUUGGUGGGUUUGAUGAUAGAGCACUUGUUAGAUAUGAAUUUAUAGAGUAAAGGUGCAAAUUUCAGAAUUUGGAAACCAAGCUACCCUGUUCUGUCUGAUUUUAUUGCAUCAUGUUAGAGGCCGAAUUAGGUUUAGCAUAAAACAUGAAAGUUGUAGAGAAUGAUGUUUUAUAGUUGUUUACAAAAUUUCAGCUCAUUCGAAGCAACAUAGCCGGUGAAAAGACCAAAAUACCCUCACUGCCCUAGGAUAUUUUCAGUGAUCCGUUUUGGACAGUUCAUCAAAUUGAUUGUGUUUAUUCACUAUGAUCCGUGCUGAUUUAGUCAUUUGCCAAAAAUUAAAAGUUUUAGUACUCUGUCUUAGCUUUUUAACGCCACCAAGAACACCUUAAACGGAUCAGUGUAACCCAAGUUAUAGACAAAACACUCAUGCCUGUUUUGAACAUUGGUUUGUGCUGCGUUUUGAAGUCAGCCUCUGACCGUGCAUUUUUCUGUUUUGAUCCCGUAUGAUCUGGGUGUCAACUCCUUCAUAAGAAAUGUAGAUCUUGGUUUUGGUUUCGAAACGGUAUAAAGUGCGUCGAAAUCCGAGUUCCGUAGCUCCUGUUAUGACCAAAACAAGAUCAAUCGUCAGAACUGCCUUGAAUCUGGACAGUUCUAACGGGUGCUUUGACACUCAACUUUCGUUCUGUUCUGAAUGGAUUCAGGUCUUGGCCAAAACAUCAAAGUUUUAGCCUUAUAUCUCAGCUUUCUAAUGCCUCUGGAAUUUCUUGAUUUCUAUUUGUGAGUUGGGAGUUACAAUCCAGCAAACUUACCCUGUCCGUUACCUUAAAGUGCACAUUUCUGGCACUAUUUUCCAUACUUUCGACCCAUCUCUAUUCCGAUCCGGAUUUAUGUGUCUUCAUGAAAGUUAUAGGCUUUUCUCUUAGCUUCGUAACGGUAUCUCAUGUACCUUGAUCCGACACGCGUAGCCUCGAUUGUGCUCAAAACAGUUUUGACGGCAAAACGGCUAGGUCGCCUCCCAUUUCCGUAUGCCGUUUCCGCACUUGCAUGUGCCCAUUUUGUCGUUUUGCGUGUUUUAGGCAUAAUAGUAGCCGUUUGUGAUAUUAUGUGACGUAAUCUUCUAUUUCAGACGGUGGUGAGUUAGGUGGAGCCGGUGGGGCCUACUAGCUACUCUUCGCGACGCGAAUUUCGUCCUUUUGUUAUCCUUGUUCGUUGAGUAAGUAUUCACACCGCUCUUAUGUGUUAGUUGCUUAUGUGUUUCGAUAUGUAUGAAGAGAGUAUCUAGGCGAGGGUGUACUUUAUCGCACUCGACCUAAACCCUAAUUUACGCACAUAUUUGUACAUGGCAUAUGUAUAUGAAUCAUUUUGGAACUAAACCCCUUGAACUUGUGGCUCGGGGUGAUUUUUGAGUAAAUUUUGUGAAAUUUGUGAGUUUGGGGCCCGAUCUCAUGACCUAGAUGGACUAUUCAAGCCGGUUAGGGUUUGGUCGAAGUCAGUCCAAUCUGGUUUGAGGUCACCAAGUUUGUGAAUCCGGUUCACCGAUUAUGUGGACCAAGUUUGUGACCCGAGCUUGUGAACCAAGCUCAAUUUCGUUCGCUCGAGCAAGUUUAUGAGGUGUCUGGCCAGAGAGGGUGAUAAGGUGUAUGGUGGGAGUACAAGUGAAGUUCUACGAACCAUUAUUUGUGGUCGACGGAGUGUCGGCAGGAGAUCACGCAUGGCAAACGAUCUGGUUUUGGAGCCACCUGUAUCCUUAUCAUGUGAUGUUACUUUUCUGCUUUUGCUUUACUCUUACUGUGUAACUGUUGUUACGUGAAAUUUACGCUUUUGCCCCUGUUUACUUACUAAGCAUAUAGCUUACCCCUUUUCUUUUGUUUUCCUUAGCAGGGGCCGACGCGGGGACUUUUGGCACAUACACUGGGUAUAGUUAGGUGUGCUUGUUUAGCUAGACGUUUAAGUCGUUUCUUUUAUUUUGAUGGCCUGUAUAAGAACCUCUUUUUGGGUCUACUUUAUAUAUUGGGUGACUAACUUAUGGUGAUGUAGUAAACAGAAUACAUAUUUUGGAGAAUGUAAUUAUAACUCUUUUGGGAUUGUAUAUAGUAUGUAUAGUACUCUUUUGGAUUUUCUAGCUUUUAUUGUUUUAAAUUUUGAGUCCUGGCGCGAGCUAGACAGGGACCCGCCGAUAGCUUUGGAUUCGCCCUUGGGAGAAGUGGGAUCGUCACAAUAAAUCAGAUGUGAUAAAGAUGGAUUGAGUAUAGAUGCAGGUGGAUAGUGGAGUGGCUGCAGAGCGAAAUGAAAUACUAGUGGUAAUAUUCUUGGGAAAAAUUUUUAGUUUUGUAAAAUAUUUUCAGGAAAGCGUAUCAAACACCAAAAAAAAAAAAAGGUAAACUAAUUAUUUUCCAAAAAAAAAUUUUCAUUGGAACAACAUAAUGACACGAUAUAGGAUUCUCAUAUAGGAUUCUCCGCAUUUAGAUUCUUCUACCUUUUUCAAAAGAACAACAUAAUGACAUGAUACCAUACCAAUAAAGAAUAGUGUUCAGUUAGGUUUUCAUUUGAUUUUUAACUCAUAUUUCCUAGCCAUUUCAUUAGUAUCAUUAAUAAUUCUGUUUAAGAAUUCAUGGUGUAAUAUGAAUAAAUAUUUUAUAGAAAUGAUAAUAUGAUAUAAUGGAUAUAAAUUAAAAUUAACUUGUAAUGAAAUGAAUAUUUUGAGAGUAGAAAAAUAUUUGCAACAUAUCAACAAACAUAUCAGAAAAUAUUUUCAUUGACAAACCAAAUACCGAAAAAUUAUGAAAAAAGGAAUUUAGAAAAUAUUUUCACUUAAGAACCAAACAUCGAAAAAUUAUGGAGAAGGAAGUGAUUUUUCAGGAAAAUGACUUCGAUGGAAGGAAAAUAUUUUUGGUCUAACCAAAUGGACCCUAAGAGUAACUUAUAAUCAAUGCGACCCAUACGUGGGUCCUGUUUUCAAAUGAUUUUGAUUGUGUAAAAAUUGAUUAUAAAAAAAUCAGAAUAAAAAAUAAAAUAUAUAUAUUUAAUUUUCUUUAAGGUAAAAAACUAAAUUUUUUGAUAUAAAAAUAUAGUUGAGAUUUGAGAACAGCUGAAUUUUUUUUUUUUCAAAAUCAGGAUUUAGAGUCAAGUAUUGAGCCUGAGUUAAGAACUAGGUGGUAACAUAGAAAAGAUAAAGAGAACUAAAUUUGAGUUUUGGACAAUUUCAUUGGCGUUUGAAAUUAUUCAUUUGGAUAUAUCUAAGUUGUUAAAUAUUUGACGGGCAUUGCUGAUUUACAAAGAGUUUACAAAUGUGUUUAGAUAGGAGAUUUUUUGAAAUAUUAUCUGCAAUAAUUACUAUAAUAUCUUUUUAAGAUGUGAUGUAUGUGAGAUAGAAAUAUAAUUAAAAAUAUACAAAGUUGAUUGACAAUAUUGUAUUUAUGAUAUAAACAAAGUAUUAUUUGAAAUAAUUUUACUAUCCAAACACAUUUUUUGCUUGUUACAGGAAUUAAACUUGUGAUUUGAGCAGUCGGGCUCGCCGAGAAAAAGACAAAACUUCAGUGGGAGAUAAAUCAAUGAACGUUUGGCACAGCCUACUGGUUUCGAUAGCCCUUGUGAAAAUUUCAAAAAGGGAACGAGUUACAACCAAGCCCAUACGAUCCAACUCCGUCUGUUGUCCUUGGGCCCACUGUUGGAGUUAAGCCACUGUUGGAGUAAAUUCCUGCUCUGGCCUAAAUACUAAAAUCAUGGAUUUGUUAAACCUUCAGGAAGCGCUACUACAUGUCACAUAUGCAUGAAAUGACUCUGAUUGAGAUGUGGAAGCUUAAGGCGGCCUUGUUUCGAUUGAAGUUUUCGAAAGAAAAUAUUUUAUGUUUUUUGGGGAUAUUUCAUAAUUAUUUUUUAACCUCACAUACAUAAAAUUGAUAUAAUAUAUUAUAUUAUUCCAUAUAAACUCCAAAAAAUAACAAUUCAAAUGCAUAGAAACAUGUUUUCAAUUUUCAGAAAACAGGAUAAAAUGCAUCUUCUAAUUUUUUUUUAAUAUCACAUACAAGAUACACUCGUAUAUGUUUAUAGUAUAAUUUUGCUUAAAAACAUGUGAUGAUUUUAGAAAACCUCCUCUAAGAUCUUUAACAAUUACAUCUACCUUUUUCUAAAAAUUGAUAAAUUAUUUUUACUUCCCUUGAUGCUAUGAAAAAACUAGGAAAGCCUUCAAAAUAUGGCUUAACUUUUCCUGCAAAAAAAUGGACUUAAAAUGUUCACAUAAUAGAUAAUGGUGAUAGUUACCUUUUCAACAUUUAAUUUGUUUUACAUAUUAGAGAGGGUUAAUAUUGAAUAUUCAGUGAUUUUUUUCUUUUUUUUGCACUUACAUCAUUAAUGUUUUAUCAAGACAUACUUUUAGGGAAUGUUAUAUAAUUUUUCAAACAUUAGAAGAGGUCGUUGCAAUUGUCAAAAACCUCAAGGUGAUGUUUUUGAAAUUAUCCCUGAAAAUGUUAAGGAUCGUGAAUGGUGCUCAGCAGCUGCCGUAGUACCGCGGUAACUUCGCUUGGGUCAGUAACAAUUUAUGAAGAAGAGAAAAGCCGACCCAUAACUUCGCUUGGUGUCCUUCGGUAGCUUGCAGGGGGAUAUGGUUCCUGACCGUCGAUCCCACCAGCAGCUUGGAGUCAUAUGGUUCGCAGCGGUCGAUCCCACCAGUUCCAUCGGUGAUGAGGCUGAUGGAACAGGUGCUAAAAGUGGCGGGGACUAUUCUAAAUUCUAAAUCCAAGCCUGAAGGUGGAAACUGGGAACAGUUGUUGUACACUACUACACUCGCAGCGAAGUAGAGAAGAACAGGACAUCCCAUUUUGCCAAGAAAUAGAAACCUUGCUAACAGGGAGCACCUACUAGUAGCAUUAUUCAGCAUGGUUAUUAAACUCGGCUUAGUCCGACGGUUCAAUCGAUCAACCCGAUGAAUCGAUCAUAAAAUCGAGUUAAAUUCUUAAUAAGAUCGUUUCUGUAUUGAACCCGUUAACUUUUCAAUGGAUCGACAGUUAAAUUAAUCAAUUUUAUAAGGAACUCGAUCUACGAAAAAUUUUUAUAACAUUGCUAGAAUGAAAAUUUGAACGCGAUGACCUCAUGCAAAGAAGUAGACUACCAUUACCACUAGACCAGCCCAUCAUUUGUUAUUUAUUUUGUUCUUAUACUAUAUAUUAGAGUCUUAUUCUUAUUUUAUUUCUCUAAAACAAAAUUUAUUUGAAAUUUUGUAAUAAUAUUUUUAUUAUUCCAUGAACUCUAUAAAUUAUGAAAUUGAUUUAAAAAUAACAUAUUACACAAAUCAUUUUAAAGACAAAUAUUAUUCUUAAUAAACUUUUGUACUUAAAUUCAUAAAUAAAUUAGAUAAUUACACUUAGAUAAAAUUUUAUACUUGAAAUUUGGUGGAUUACUAAUUAAAUUUAGCUUAUUAAUUCUUAUAAAAAUUAAGGAAUCUAUAAUAAAUUAAACUAACUAAAUAUUUAUUAUGGUAUAAAAAUUAUAAAACAAAAUAUUUACAUAUAUGUAGUGACCUACCGAUUGGAUCACUCAUCCAUCGAUUGAAUCAAUGGGUUUGUUUGGAUUGUGUUUUAUUUGGAAUAUUUUUACUGUAGCAUUUUUUGUGAUGUGAUGUGUGUGAGAUAAAAAGAUAAUUGGGAAGAUAAAAAGGUGUAUUGAAAAUUAUAAUAAUGAUAUAAGCAGAUAAAAUUGAAGAAAUAAAAUACAAUCCAAACAAAUCCAAUAAUCCGCUGACCCAUCCCUUUCAUCGGAUUCCUCGCCAAAGCCAGGCCGGUUUAAUAGCUAUGCAAAGCAAAAUUAAAAAAAAUGAAGCUUUGGGAAAAUAGCUGCGGAAUCGAGGCAUUUUCCUAAAUUAUAUUCCAUAAGAUAUUCUGAGGUCCGCUUUACACUUACAGACAUUACUCCUAGUCCUACACUCUUACUGAGACAUUUGCUGACGCACACUGUCCAACACACACACACGCAGCCACCCAGUCAGCCAGUCCUCUCGCUUUCUCUCUCUUCACUCUCCUCUCUCUCUCUCUCUCUCUCUCUCUCUCUCUCUCUUUUUCUGUCCGUCUUCUUGCCGUUUUGUUGGUUUGUCACAGAGACACUCCACUCGCUGCUGCUCCAGAGAGAGAGCGCUCCCAAUGUCCUCUUUCUCGGGCCCGGCAAGAGAAACAAACAGAUAAUCGUUGUAGUCUCUUCUCUUGUCCAGGUGAACGCUGGUUGUCUUCCAGACAGACACCAUAACACAAAUAAGGCUUCCUUUCUCUUCUCCUCUCUUCUUUCUAAUAGACUGAAAAAGGUGAAGGAAAACCAAGAAAGAUAGUUGAUGGGGAGGAGCUUCAUACUCGUACUUGUUACUUCCCUUCUACUAAUGCUCAUUGGUAAUGUGCCUAUUUUUGUGUUCCGUCCUUUUUGAUGUUUUCAUUUCCCAUUUUUGGCUCAUUGUGCAGUCCUCCUCUUCUUUUGAUCAACUGCUACUAGUAGUAUUUGUUUCAGCACCGACAUCUUGAAUAGUUCUUUGGUCAAGGUGACUUGUUUUUUCGGGCUAUGCACCCAACCCACUUAAUCAUUUACUAAAACUUUUCCUGUGGGGUAUUUCUUUUUCUAUAGUUUUGGGGUUUUUUUAAACCAAUUUUGCACCAUCCCUAUUGUCUGUUUUAUGUGUAUUGUUUCUCAAUCACUUUGCACUGUCAGUUCUGCAUCUUUGUUAUAACGUGCGCAACAAUGCAGGGGAGAGGUGCUUGUUAUGCGUUUGAGCCUUGUCAUUUUUGCCUAUUUACUGUUAAUGGUUUUUUUUUUGAGCAAUGCAAAACUUUGCUUCAUUAGCUGCAUAAUUGGUGUAGAUAUAGCUUGAAGGAAUAUGAAGUGUGUUUGUUUGCCAAUUUUUGCUAAGCUAUGGUAAGUUCCAUUAGCAUUUAGACUAGAUAAUUGUUUAAGAUGAUUAUAUGUUGGAUCCGGCUCCAUCUAUACACAAGUACACAAGGAAGGCUUGAUGAAGCUACAAGUUCCUCAAUAUCUUUGUUAACACAAUGUCAGAAUGUGAGUCUUGGCGGUUUCUUGGACUUCAAAUGAACAAGGAAGUCAAAUGAAUAUUUUCCCCAUCCCUCCUUGCUUGCUAGUGGUUCGUGUCUUUCUAAUUCCAAUUGUAGAUUUAAGGAACAUUUUUCUGAUCUUUGGGCUAGAAUUAUGUUGUUGACAUGGUCCUGUCUGUGAUGUGAAUUUAUUAUCUAAAGCAAUAUGUAAUAACCUUGUGACAGAGUUGCAUGCAGUUAUUCUUUAGUACUGUUUUGCAUCUUGCAUAUGCGUGCGUCUUUUUGUAUACUCUUCCGUUGUUGCCAUAGAUAAACUAUUUUAGGUGGAAUUUGUCGUCUUCCAUCGUUUUAUUUUCUAUGACAAGAGCAAUAUAAAACACUUCUAUAGUUUCUUUUGGUGUUAUUUUAUUGCCUUAGCAGUCCUUUUGGGUGUGGCACCACCUGAAUUCCUGAAUUCUGUACUUUGAGUAGUUGAUGUGCCUCGAUGAUGGGCGAAACUAAUGUUCACCUUCGAACAAAUGCAGUGUAAGAGACUAUUCAGAUGCCAACAAUGAUUCUUGGAUAUUCGUGUAUGCAAUGUCUUGUAUCGGUCCAUGCAUUUGUCAGUAGAUCACAGUCACUACCUCAAUAACACUUAGGCUUAAAGCAGUUUACUGGAGCUUGGCUUCAAAGCACAUGCUGUGAUGCCGAUGCAAAUUUCUGAUUGUUAAGAUGCAUGGAAAGCACACGAAUGACUGUGGACUCCUUUUUUUACUUUUUCUUUCUUUGUCUGCUCCAAUAUUCUCCUCACUAUCUACUUCAAGAAGUUAGUCAGAUUAAAUGUUAUUUUUCUUUUUCUACUGAGACUUCACAAACAAAAUUUGACAGGAGUGUGCCAAGGGAGCAAAGUUGGAGUUUGCUAUGGAAGAAAUGCUGAUGAUCUUCCCACACCAGAUAAAGCUGUACAAUUGAUUCAAAAUCAUAACAUUAAGUAUGUGAGGAUUUAUGACUCUAACAUCCAAGUUCUGAAGGCCUUUGCAAAUAGUGGAAUUGAGCUGGUGAUUGGUAUUCCAAAUUCAGACUUGUUGCCAUUCUCACAAUUUCAAUCUAAUGCUGAUACUUGGUUAAGAAACAACAUUCUUCCAUAUUAUCCAGCCACAAAGAUCACAUACAUAACAGUUGGUGCUGAAGCCACUGAGGUUCCCAAUAAUGUCUCUGCGAUGGUAGUACCUGCUAUGCAGAAUGUUUUCACUGCUCUGAGAAAGGCUGGUCUUCACAAGAAAAUCAAAGUUUCCACUACUCAUUCUUUGGGUGUUUUGUCCCGGUCAUAUCCACCUUCAGCAGGGGCUUUCAAUAGUAGCUAUGCAUUCUUUCUGAGACCCUUGCUGGAAUUUCUUGCUGAGAAUCAGUCACCUUUCAUGGUUGAUACAUACCCUUACUAUGCCUACAGGGAUUCCUCUAGCAAUGUUUCCCUGGACUAUGCUCUAUUUGAGUCAUCGUCUGAAGUAAUCGACCCAAAUACUGGUUUACUUUACACAAAUAUGUUUGAUGCCCAGAUUGAUGCUAUUUACUUUGCUUUGAUGGCUCUCAAUUUCAGAACCAUUAAAAUAAUGGUGACCGAGACAGGCUGGCCUUCCAAAGGAUCUCCUAAAGAAACAGUUGCAACUGCAGACAAUGCCCAAACAUACAACACAAAUCUGAUUCGCCAUGUCAUCAAUGACACUGGCACUCCAGCAAAGCCAGGACAGGAGCUAGAUGUAUACAUCUUUUCCUUGUUCAAUGAGAACAGGAAACCAGGGUUAGAAUCUGAGAGAAACUGGGGCUUAUUUUUCCCGGACCAGACAAGUGUAUACAACCUUGACUUCACUGGCAGGGGUACAGUGGAUAUCACAACAGGUGCCAACAUCACCAGUUCAAAUGAAACAUGGUGUGUUGCAGCAUCUAAUGCUUCUGAUGCUGACCUUCAGAAUGCCCUCGAUUGGGCUUGUGGAUCUGGGAAUGUGGAUUGUUCUGCUAUUCAGCCAAGUCAGCCUUGUUUUGAGCCAGAUAACCUCAUAUCUCAUGCAUCAUAUGCUUUUAACGGUGUGAGUGCAGGCAAGUGGUCACCCACCCACCAUAAUGCCAUAUUCAUAUUUUGGAUUCGACUUGGGUAGCAAAAGUCCGGGCAAAUAGGCAAGUAACAGUCGAGAGGACGAUAUUUUUUUCAGAGCUGUUGGCAUCAUCUGAUUCUUGAACAGCGACAGGAGCCUCCGAAAGCACUGCUCUUGUGGUACCGUCAAAAUACUACUGCUCCGAAAGCACUGCAUCUACCCAAAGAUAAACGAGAGACAAAAGUUACAACAGUCAUGGGUCAUUAUCUCAGACGACUGAGAGAAGAGAAUUAAAACACAAGUUAUCUAAUGGAUACGAACAAAUGAUGACACAAAGCGAAUUUCAAUACCUCAUCCUCCUCGUUAAUAAUUGGCACAGGACAGGAGCCAGCAAAUUAUUAUUAUUAUUGUCAUCUACCCGUAGGCUUUGAAGCCUUCAGUGCAUCGUACGUACUCAAGCUCAGUGUAUACUGUGCUAGUACCAUUUCUGCGCUAGAGGGGAAAGCGAUCUCGAUGUACUACUGUCCAUCAUCCGUGCUCCUUGCACUGAACGCCGAGGGAUGCUAAUGCUAGAAAACUUGACUGCUGCUGUUUGCUUUUUCUUCUUCAAGAAAAUAAAUGAUAAUGGCGUGAUUUUUGCAAGCACUAAAAAUGACAAAGAAUAUCUUUUUGCAAACUGUUAUGCUACUACUACAUCUAUGGCGUAUAGAUAGAACGGUUGGAAAGAAAAAAGAGAGUAGUGUUAGGUGCAAAGUUCUUGACUUUUCAGCACUUCACCAAUUAAUCAUACAAUUAUAUUAUAUUACGGAGUGCACAGGAGAAUUCGAAUUUCGAAAUCUGGUAGUGGGUAAUCUGCUUCCUUCCCCCCCCCCGGGGUUUUCCCCAUAAAAUUCCCUUGCACUAUUUAAGUCUCUGUUCAUAUAUAUGACAACUCGAGAACGAAGCGGUGAAAUUGCAGAAUUUUGCCAAAGUGAAGUGAGUGGAACAAGUUGACGACUGAAGAAGAUUACCACCGAGGAAAAGAGAGACGAAGAGGAGAGAAUAUGGUUGGCUGAAGCAGGGAUUUUGCAAAGAAGGAAAGUUUGGAUUCCUAAGAGAUUUGCAUAUGUGCGUAAGCGGUCACGAGAUUGUCAGAGAUGCCUGCUCUGCUGUUCUGUGCUGUGCUGAGGAAGGAGAUGGACUCUGGGUGUGGUCUGCUUCUGGUUGUGGAGGGACUUUGGACGCGCUCUAAUGAAUAGUAACACCUUCCAUUCCAAUCCAAGCCUCAGGUUUCAGGUAUCAAUUCUAUUCUAUUCUAUCUUACGUACGUUGUUCGGUUGUUGCAUCGCAUCUCUCUCCCUCUCUCUCUUUCUUUCUUUCUUCAAUUCCUUCUUUAAGGACACGUCGCUCCACAAAGUAAUCUUUUGCUUUUCUCUUUUUCCAUUUUUACAUCUUUUCAGAAAAGAGCCCCAGCCAGUUGGACGAAUCUAAAUUCGAUCGAGACCCCUUCCUCCCUCCGCCCUUUUAUUUAUUUAUUUAUUUAUUUAAUAUAUACAUAUAUAUAUACAUAUAUAUCUUUGUUAGUUACUACUUUUGUAUACACUACUGGCUAUAUACACAUUACUUGUAUGCUUUUUAUACUAAAACUUUAUCGUCAUUCGAAUAUCUUAUUUUUUAAGUGACUAGAUCAAUAAUGAUUUUAAAGUUAAGGAUUGGUCUUGUCUUUUGGGUUUGCGUGUCUACAUACAUACAUACAUACAUACAUACGCAAUCCUCAGCCGCACCUUCUUGUCUGCUAUGCUUCUUCUACGUAGUUUUCUGGGGGAUCCUGUGUGGAUAUUUUCCCAUUUCUAGUAAUUGGUCAAUGUAUCUAUAUUCUACUAAUAACUAAUUAAUGAUGCUUGUCCAUUACAACAAUAAUAUUAUUUAAUUCUUAAGCACAGGCUACAACAAACUCUACCAUCUUUACUUUAUUUCCCAAGCUUGAUUAGUAUGGUGAAAAGCAAGGGAAGAGCUCAGCUUUCGUUAAUUUGGACUACAUUAGCCUGUAAUGAAACUAUGAACAAAUUAAUCUUAGGUUCCACUUUAAUUUUUUGCUUGAAAAUAUUUGUUACUAAUACCCAUGAAAAGAUUAUUGUCUUGUCUACGACACUGACUUAUAUAAGUUUUAGUUUAUAGAUCAAUGUAUAUGCAGAGGGGAUCGGCUUGUGUAACAAGAUACGAGCAUUGAACAAACAAAUUUUAUGAUACAUGAAAGAGUUCAAGGCUCCAAGCUCACACAUUUUUUCAACCUCUCGGAAUUUCGUCUAGUACAAGAUUUUCUCAGCCAGGGCAAAAAAAAAAAAAAACAAACAAACAGUACUGUAAAAGAAUGGCAGCAGUUAACCAAGAAUUAGAGAUUUCCCUCUUGUCUUUGUAACCAAGAAUUUUGAUUAUAAAUCAACUGACUUCCUUCCAAAUUUCCCUUUCAUUUUCCACGUUCGUAUGCACGAUUUAGAGAUGUUACUGUUGGACAACUUUCACAAAAAAGGAAGCACACCAGCUUUUUAGCUGUAAAUUCUCAAAUUAUAGUCCCUUAGCUUUUGACACCCCGUUUUCAAGUUCCCUUAAUCUCUCCUUCCUUCACAUCAUCACAUGUGCCUUCUUAACCCCAUCUCUAAAGUAGCAGUAGUAACUUCUCAGAAGCCUAGGCCCCCCUUUUCUCCCCCACCAUCUUCUUUAGAGCGUUUUUCCUUACCUUUUUCUCUUUGAAAAUUAUCAUCCCAGAUAAUGAGCUGCGAAGAUGGUGCUAUUUUCAGUUACAACUUCAGGCCUAAGGUUUCUCCAGACUUAAUUCUUUUGAAGGCUUGACAAGCUAAGCCACAUUUUCAAGAAAAUGGGCAGAGCAACAAGGUGGUUGAAGAGUUUGUUUGGGAUAAAGAGGGAUAAGGGCCAGAAGGAGAUUAAUCCAAAUUCCGGUAGCCAGAGAGAAAACAAAUGGACGGGAAUGGGCCAUUCGGGAAGAGACACUGCUGAUGGGCUGUGUUCAAAUCCAAACACCAUUCCACCCAAUAUUACCCCGGCUGAAGCUGCAUGGUUGAGAUCUUUUUACGCUGACUCUGGUGACAAGGAGCAAAGCAAGCAUGCCAUAGCAGUUGCUGCAGCCACCGCCGCUGCCGCUGACGCCGCCGUCGCCGCUGCACAGGCUGCGGUGGCCGUGGUUAGGCUCACCAGUCAGGGCAGAGGAGGGUCCAUGUUUGGUGGUGGUGGUGGUAGUCGUGAAAAGUGGGCCGUUACAAAAAUUCAAAGUGUUUUCCGCGGAUUCUUGGUAAUUAAUUACUACUACUACUACUUUUGCUUCGAAGGUGUAUAACGUAUAUUUGACUGACAGACACGGUUUCUCAGUAUCGUAGUCACAUCCGUUUCCUUGUCUUCUUUCUUUUUUUUUUUUGGCUGUCCCUUUUACCAUUAUAUGCAUUAAUUUUGGUUCGUUCUUACUAGAAAAAUGGAAAUUGCUAAACGGGUAUGGUGUGAAUUAAUCAGGCAAGGAAGGCACUGAGGGCUUUGAAAGGACUUGUGAAACUACAAGCACUAGUGAGAGGUUAUUUGGUGCGUAAACAGGCGUUCGCUACAUUUCACAGCAUGCAAGCUCUUAUAAGAGCACAGGCCAAUGUUCGUGCCCAAAAAACUCGAGGCCUCCUCGAUUCUACUGCUGCAAGUUCAAACCGGCAGUUUCAUGCUGCAAAUUCGGCGGUAAGAACUUGUCUCUGUGCAUCUAUUUUUGCAAGGAAUUACAUCUUAAUUUAAUUUGUGUCCAUCUUGGUUAAUUAGCAGGAAAAGUUUGAUGAGGGUAGAAGUAGGCAGAAUUCAUUUCAUAACAGAAGGCUCUCUGCAUCGUUUGAUAGCAUUAACUCAAAUGCAAUCGAUGAAAUCCCAAAGAUUGUGGAGAUAGAUACUGGAAGGCCUAAAUCAAGAUCCAGAAGAAGCAGCGCCUGGGUAUCAGAUUCCAUUUCCGGGGAUGCCCAGACUCUAUCCUCUUCGUGUCAAUGCCGACAUCCUCCGCCCCACCUAUCGAUCCCUGAUUGCAGAAACUCUCAAGACUCCGACUGGGGACUGACUGGGGACGAAUGCCGCUUCUCCACCCCUCAAAGCACUCCCAGAUUCUCCAAUUCUUGUGGGACAAAUCCACCUGUCACGCCAGCCAAGAGUGUUUGCGUGGAAAGCUUAUUCAGGAAUUGCCCAAAUUAUAUGGCUAAUACGCAGUCAUUUAAGGCCAAACUGAGGUCUUACAGCGCACCGAAGCAAAGGCCUGAACCGGGGUCCAAGAGGAGGCUAUCGCUCAAUGAAAUGAUGGAGUCCAGAAGUAGUCUAAGUGGGGUCCGAAUGCAGAGGUCAUGCUCUCAAGUCCAAGAAGUUUUGAGUUUCAGGAAUGCUGUUGUCGGUAGGCUUGCAAGGUCUUCAGAAUUCUCAAAAGAGCAAUUAUACAACAGGGAUUCUUACUCGGAAGAAUAUUUUGAGUAGCGAUCGAAAGAAUGUGCUGCAACUAUCAAUUCGCAAGCGCAAACAGAGCAUGUAAUUGUCUAGAAUCUAGAUCAUCCUAGAGACAUAGGGCAAGAUGUAAUCUUUACUCCCGUUUUCAUUGAAGAAGUGAUCAAGGUCGGUUAUACCAGUACUGACGAGGUUAAUAAUAAUUGUGUGUCUAAUUUUUCGUGUUGCUUAGGUGUGCCGUUAUUACAACAUUAACUCGACCUCUGCACAAAAAUGUACCGUACAUCCAGUACCACAAAUGCUGAGAGCCAACAAUUCCUUUCCUGGAAUCAUUUGAAAUGACAGGGCUUAGCUAGUUUGGACGGCAAUGCUAUGAUUCAUUAUUGCCUCCGUCCCCCUCUCUGUGUGGUUGCAUUCUAAGUAUUCAAAUUUUUUUUUUCUUUCACCUUUAGGGGCAGUACCGUCAUAAUUUGUUACGAGUGCUACAAUGUCAAUAGGAUGAUGACUUCUGUUGUCAUGUGCGGGUGUGAGGUUGAUGUGCUGCUGUAUCUAAUUUGAAAUGGAAGAGCUAUCUGGUUUUCUAAUCUGAAGAAAUAAUGGGAAUCUCAUAUGUGACCCACUUCUCCAUUAUGUAAACAAAAGAUCACCAUAACUUGGGCUAGUAGCAUCUGUAGUCUGGGACCUCUCUGAUUCAUUCCAUUGGCACAUUACUUGGGCACUCUCAACAAGCUUUGCAGCCUUUUCUUGUUUCUUGUUUUGGCAGAUAGAAAACAACUUGGCAGCCGAAGCUUUUAGGGUCGCUGGCUCAUUUCUGCUGCAGCAACAACAACAAACAGCUACUACGACUGGGUUUCUUGUUUCAUCAGCAGGAUGGUGGGUGGUUAAGCAGCAACAUUAUUGCUUCCUAUGGCUCCUCCCUAACACCAACAGCAAUAGGCCUUUUAUUGGGCGCAAGAUAGUACAAUUUUCCAUUCCGCCUACGUGCCGAAUUGUCAAUUGUUGUUUUCUUUUGAGUUUUAGUUUUGACAAUGGGCGUCGCAGAAGGCUUGAUUCCAGCCUUCCAUUUUUUGCGUCUUUAUCUUCUUCUUGUCUUGUUGGAUUAUAAUAUCUAGACUAUAGAUGCCAGGUAGACUGGUAGGCUUGGUCAAGGACUCGAGAUUCAGGAAGAAGGGGAAAAAGAGUAGGAAAAACUUUGUGCAACUUUAAGGUGUCGUAAUUGUAUAGCUAAAUUACACCCCCUUCAUCUAACGUGAAGGUUUGGAUUCAUGAUAAAGGAGUAUGAAUUUAGCCCUCACUUAAAAAGUAUAAUGUGUGUUUCUACAUUUAAAUUAAUUUAUAUGGUGAUUCGAUCAUAUUCUCAAGUCACGUUCAUCAUCGUUGGACGGGGAAAUAAGUGUUUCUUAGAUUAUUAUUGAAAGAAAUAAUUUCCUAAAAAGACCACAGAAUUUUGUUUAUCUUAUAUUCCCAUUAUAUAUCAGUAGCACGUGCUCUGCUGGUGAGUUAAAUUAUGGGGUGUUACUAUAACGUAAUGUUGUUACAGAAGUUGGUGGAAAGAUAGCUAGCAAGAAAUAUGCUAUAAGGAGAAAUCUUGUUUUUAUAUAAUCUUGUUUCACACUCAUGUGAUGUGAAACUUUGGGCCAAUUUGAGUGCAUAUUGGACACAUUUAUUUGUCGCCUCCGCCCAUGGACCCAAUUUAAGACUGAUGAGUGAAUGAGGGCAGGAUGUUUUCCACGCCAAACCUUUGACAUCUUGAACUCACGAUUUUUCUCUUGGAUAAAUAGAGCCCAACCCAAAGAUCUGAGCAACAAUGAAUGCAAUAUAUAGAUUUCGGAUUGGGACCUAAAAUGAGUUGUGUCCCUUCCAGCCGAAGAUUGUGCUGUUGUUGAAAUUGUGACUUUCUAGACUGUAAUUGUUCAGUGCGUGCGUUAGCAAAGAGCAACAGAUGUAAAUACCAAAAUAGUAAACUAGACACUAAAAGUAAUAGAGUAAAUCUUAUAUACACACUAUCACUGACUGACAGUAUACACACUAUCACCGUUGGAUUCAUGACACAUGUGUAAAAAUUGAAUUUCAAAUUCAAAUUUUGCAUAGUUAUCAUUCAUUCAACGCUGACAGUGUAUACAAUGUCAGUGUAGGAAAUAUUAAUUCAAAGUAAUAAUAUGAAAAAUAUAGCAAAUUAAGUUUUAUAGACGAGAUUGAUUGGGGUACACCACGAAAAAUUUAACGAGCAAUGUUUAAAAUUUUUGUGCCACAAUCAAUCUCAUCUAUCCAAAUUCAAUUUUCUACAAAUGCAGGCUAUAAACUUCAUCAUUCAAUUGCUCCGCUAUUUGCAUAAUAAUUGCAGUCCAGAACGUGAACUGCAACAUAACAAAGAUAACGUUUAAUUUCGCGAAAUGUUAUUUGACCUUCCAUUUUUGUUAAUCACAUUUCUACUAUCAUUUUAAUUAUAUAAUUUUUUAUUUAGUAGACUAUAUGAUAAAAUAAACGAUGAAAGUGCAAAUAACAAAAAAAUAGAGUGCAGACAACAUUUCCCUUUAAUUUCAGAUAAAUUUUCCUUUUUCCUGUGUGGGCCGGGUGGAUGCGCAAUUUUCAAGCAGGAUGGACAACAAGUGGGUUUGGUGCUUUGGAUUGUGGGCUUAGAAUAGAGGGAACGCUCGAGAGAGAUUGGACCGUCUUACUACUGCUUAAGCCUAGCUGUCCUCUUAAUCUUGGGUACACACAAUUAUAGGAUUUGCCAGAUAAUUAUCCCCUAAAAUAAUGGGAUUCAUUCAACCAUCUGAAUUAGAAUCAAAUUGUAAAUCUCAAUCUGAACUAUUGUUAAUCGUGUCUUGAUCACAAGAUUUCGAAAUGAUGCUUACCUUCCUUAAAACACCCUGAUUCUUUUUAUAUUGUGCCAAAAUUCUUUCUUAGACGCCGGGGCCCAAAAAUUUGCGAAAACUGAAGAAGCAUCUGCGGUGCAAGAAUGUCGAAUUCAUUUACUCAGUACUUAUUACUGAUUUACAAUGUCGGCCCAAAAAGGGAACAAAAAAAGAAAAGCAGAAAAAAAAGAAGCUCGUGUAUGUUUGUUAUCUUGAUCAUAUUUUGAUCCAUUCAGAACCAUCGAUGAAGGCAAGCGAAAUAAAAGGCUUUGCUUCCUCAUCUGUAAGUUCUCUGGACCAUGAAACUCUUCCUGCAAAACUUGCCCCUGCUCCGCUGCACUUGUAUUGUCCAUAAAACACCGUCCUGUGCAGAUAUAAGAAAGAGAAAAACAGCGUGAAAUUUUAAUGGCCUCAAAAUAGCUAUAUGACCCCCGCAGGUAGUCCGACGGGUUUUGUAGUCUGGUAGUUAUUAGCACGUUCUGUGAUUGACCCUUGUAUGCUAUCUCAUUGUGUAUUAUUGGAGUAAGAUUUUAUACAGGCUUAAGAGAUUAGUCUGGUUGAAAGGUUGGAAUACCUCCAAAUGAAAAAAAAAAUGGGCUCAUGGGCCGACUAUCAUAUGAUUUUGUUAAUUGGGCAAGCUACUAUAAUUAAAAUGGGUGAGCUAUUACAAUCUUUUUUUGUGGUAAAUAAAUGUACCGAGUUAAAUGUACACUAUCCCCAAAUUAACCAUUUGUACAGAUUUCUUAAUGACUGAUAUCCAGUAUAGUGCAAUACUUGUGGUUGUACACGUGCAUUAGAGACUUGUACAUUGUAAUCAGGUGCAAUAAACAGUAGCCACAAACUAAAAUUGUGUUCACAUCCAGGGCAUUCAAUAAUUUGGACUCUUCUACUUCUAGGACGUAUCCAAGUCUUCAAGUACAUGGCGCUUUCUGAAAGUUGAAUAUUCCUCCAUAUAGGAGCCUUGUGAAAGUUAGGUAAAGUUUGUUUAGGACACUUUAAUGGUUGAUUAUAAGUGGAUUAUAGUAGACAAGAAGAAUAGACACAAACUAAAUAAGGAGUGAGAGUAAGUCAAGGUUAUUGUCCUUGCUAGCUAGCUCUAUAUAUAUAGUGGCAAACAAACAACUGUCGCUGUGGAGAUGCUUGUAAAGUGGUUGUGAGUUGUGACUGAAUACUUUAAACAAAGUUGAUAAUCAUGGUGGAAGAACAGUGUGAUGCAUGCUGGUGCUAUAAUAAGGAAAAGAUAAGUUUGGAUAUACAUAUAUAGUUCGAAAUUGGGGUGGCACCGUCCCAAUACCACCAUCAAAUGCAAUGCUUUUGAUGUGAUACAAACUGACCUAUAAUUGGGCACCAAAUAGAUAGGCUAUAAUUGAGCACCAUAUAGAUACGGAUGGCCAUAUGUUAUGUAUAGUGGAGGAAGAUGAUAAAGAUUUUGUAAUUUUGCAGGGAGGUGAUGAUGAGGAAGAGCACUACUUACAUUUCUCGACUAGGGUCACCCCAGUUAUGCCAGCCUUUUGGAAUGAUAAUGUUGUCCAUAUAUGUGUAAGCGAAGAUUACCCUGGAAAAGGGUCCCCAUGCCCGUCCUAGGUACAGGGCUCCUGAACCCGUGACCUUACAGUUUACAAAGGAGAACCCUGUGUCCUCCAACAGGCUGCUUCUCCCUUGUGCUGUGACUGCCCCCGUUAACUGUGCUAUUGCAUGCACGUGACAACCCUGCGUUUACAUUUUAACCAUUAUGUAUUCUGCCAUCAUCAUUUCAUGAUUUGAGCAUAACUAGGUGCAUGCAGAUGCAGUACAUAAUUGGUUAUGUAAUGUACAUUCUUAAUAGUGUUUCUGUUUCACUAACAUACAAUAGUACCCAGAGGAUUCUUGAUUAGGAUCAAUGUACUUUCUCUAAAUGCAUAUAUAAUGGUAGAAAUUAGUGUUUCUAUUCUAAGUUUAAGUUCUAGAGUAAUAUAUAUAGUUCUCUGGAUCGAAGCAUAAAUUGAUAUAUACAGAAUGCUCCCUCCUAAUUAAUUUGGUUGCCAAUAUAAAAGCCAUAUGUUUCUUGCAACAAUUCUCUUGAACUAUCAGCUAUAACAGGCGAGCUCUAUGUUUAGUGCAGUAGGAUCAUUAGCUGGCAAAUUGAAAAAGGAAAACCAAACUGUAAAUAGAACGGAAACCGAACAAACUCUCCUGAUGUAAGUGAAGCAUGUCCACUUUCAUGUAACACAGUGUUGCUUUUAGAAAAGACACGACUUGUAUCUACCUCCACAUUUCACGUCAUCCCACAAUGAAUUCAAGAACAUACAAUUUUCAUAAAAGGACAUGCGAUCCAAAUUUCAUCAAGUUUUAGUACUUUUUUCUUUUUUAAGUUUUAGUACUUUGUUUGUCCAAUGUAUGUUUUUAGUCCACACAAAAGUGUUCAAUUGAACGAAUUCAAUUUCAACAGGUGAGACCAAAACCAUAUGAACAUGCUAACGUGGCUUUAUUAAGAACGAGGAACAUGAAACAAGAUGCAAGCACUGUAAAGUUUUAACUAACCACUGAUAUGCAAAGACAAUAAUAUUAUUGUUUGUCGAUUUCUCAAGGGAUCAGUGGAGAUAGUUACCUCAAACAAAGAGAGCCCGUUACCAAAGAUGAAAUCCACAGAGCCUUCGAUGUAACAAUCUUUGUAAUAAUGCCUGCCUACGUGGUCAUACAGCGUAUCCUGUGCACCCAAGAAUCUGCAACCCACAAAAACUGCUGUAUCUGCCGAUAUCCUAAAUGCAACAGCUUGCUUUCCAAUGGCUCCUGGGGGUGGUACUGGAGUUGUAUUCUGCAUGCAUUUUUUUUUUUUUUGGCAAAUAUUACGUGAUCAUGAGAUUAAAAUGUUAAUUAUGACUAGCCAAUAACAAAAGAAGGGGAAAAUGAUAUUACCUUGAAUGUGAUGUUCUUGGCUAUGAAAUAUGGAGAAUUCACAGCAAAUGUUGCAGAAGCAAAUGUGCCAAGAGGCUGGCCUUUUGCUCCGGGUGUUUGUGCUGUAUCUCCCCAUUGAACUAUAGUUUUAUCUGCUCCCGCUCCCUGUAUGGUUAUGUAUGACUUCAGCUGAGGUAUUGUAACCUUUUCCCUGGAAAACUCGCAUUUUUGGGGGGGUCAAAAAGAAAUGAUCAUUUGAUGGAGAGAGAGCAACAUGAAAAUAAUACCAACUGUGAAAAAUGAGGAAGGAUGAAAGAAAAGACGCAUUUCAAAAACCACAUGCAAAGUAGGUACCUGUAGUCAGGAAACCAGUUUGUAGCAUAUUGAUCAGAAGCUAAAGGACAACGUGCAACAAACCGACAUAUUUCUUUUUCAAUGGUGGCGAAAUAUAACAAAAACUUGAGCAUGACUACCUCUUAAAUGUACCAUAUUAUAUAGUAAUGCACUAUUUUCUCUCUUUCUCUCUUCUUGGUGGUAAAAUUAUGCAUUUACCAAGCCUUGACAGAAAAUACCACAAAGAACAGAGAAAUGUAUUGAGUAUAUCCUAAAACACUUACGUGUAAACACCCGCAUGAACCUUGAUCAACACUCUAACUAGAUUAACAGUAGGGAGAGAAUCAAUAGCCUGCUGAAUUGUAGUAAAGUCACCGUAGUUUGGAUUUUUGUCGACCGUAAGAGUGUAAGAAGGGAAGAGCUUAUUCUUGGCGGUCUUGAACACAGAGUGAUUGAGGCUGCCAACAAAGUUUACCCACUUCAUGAAUUGUUGUUCAGAGUAUUGGACUUGGGUCAUAUUCACUGCAAAUAGCUUCCCUGAAGCUGUUCUUUUUGGCCUAAUGCCUUUGGUGUGGCAUACUACUGUAUUGCUUCCAUAGCUCAGAAGAAUGAAAAUGAUAGAAUGUACAAGAAGUUUAGAAGUGGGCAUAUCGAUUGAUCUCUACAGAAUGAGAAUGAGAUCGAGAAGAGGAGAAAAGAAAAAGAAGGAAAAAAGCCGUACUAAGGAAUGUUGUUUUGGGGUUAGGAAGUGCAUUAAGCUGGCUCGUAAAUUGGUUGUGUAUAUAUAUAUAUAUAUAUCAGUACUACUUGGGAAUUAGUGCUUAGUAGUAACUGCUGCUGCCUUUUCAUUUUAGGUGGAAAAAGCGAUGCUAUAUUUAGAUGAUCUUGACAUGGAGUGAGAGGUCACGGGUGCCUCUAAUUGAAUCAUUGUGGAAUGUUGGGGAAGAACUAAGAAGGGGGAAUGGUUGGGUUGGGGAGGGGGAUCACAGGAAAACGAUCUCAGACCACAAAGCGAGUCCUAGGGAGGCAUGCACUUUUCGGCCUAACAAAAACGUUUCUUUCCGAGUUUUUAAAGCUCAUUCAGAGUUGGUGGUGCCCGUGACUAUCUCUAUGUUUCCGUAUGAAGCUGAACAUAUUCUGCUUUCAGAAAUGACGUGUUUUUUGUGCAGCAGGGGAAAUGUUUUUGGUACUCUAUUUUUUUUUUUUUGUUAUUUGCGCUCUUACCAUUUGUUUUAUCAUAUAAUCUAAUAAAUAAAAAAUUAUAUUAUUAAAAUGAUAAUGAGAGUGUGAUAAGCAAAAAAAAGAAGUGUAAAUAACAUUUUUUGCACAGUAAUUUCUAAUUAGUUCUAUUCAACAUAUAGUACAGGGAAGGGUGCUUGCUACUGUAGUUGCCAAACACUCGAGGAAAUGUGGGUUUCUAUCUUUGGUUUAUAUGCGUCACAUGAAUCACAUAUAUUUGCUAACAAGUUCCAAAAGCCAAUAUCGUUGUAGAAGUUUGUCAGAGAAGAGGACUAGAAAGAAAGCUAUUAGAACAAAAAUUUUCUUUUACAGGAGGGAUUUUAGAUUCAUGUAACAUAUACAAAAAUCAAAUUUUAUAUUUGAAUAGAAAUCAUGCGUCAUGUAUCAACAAAUGCUACUUUUGGAAAUUUUUUUUAGAUGGUGCAGAAAAAAUUAAUCUUAGAAAUCUUUUUUCUUCUUCUAACCUUAUUUGACACCCAAUUGUUGUUCUUUUGGGCCAGGUUGAUUUCACAUUGUGCAAAUUUAUAUCUCACCUUGUUGGCCCAUGGACCCAAUUCUAAAACCGUUGUGGCAAUAGCAGGGUGUAGAAAUACCUAAUUCACUCUCUCCCACCCUCUCUCUCUCUUCUGGGUUUUUGAGUUUAGAGCCCAGAGGAAGGAAACCUUACAUGUACACCUAAUAGUGUGCCAAGUACAUAUUGUAUUACAAAUGAUUAUACACUCGUGCGUAUAAAUACAUAUAGGAUGCGUAUAAAGAUGCAUAAGUUAAGUAUUAUUUUCAGGAGUCACGGUCCUCGUCACCACGUUCUAUUAACAUUUGAUAAGAAUACACUUAUCAAUGCAACGUUGGGUUUUACACUCCAAAUAUUUCUUUUUUCGCUCACCCCUAAAAUCAUAUUUCUUUGCACGGAAAAGACAUUUAUGGAGUAUUUUAUACACAUAACCCAAGAUGCUAUUCUUUCUUGACUCGUACCAUGCCAAACAUGCCAAUUAAUAAACAAGUAGAGGCUGCAAAUCUAGGUAAUAAUUGUACGAUUAUGGGCAAAAGUUAAAAACUUGGAUAAAUUCGAUCUUGUAAAUUUAGUGAUUCAAAUUUUAUCAACUAUUGAAUAUUUGAGCCGGAGAGAUCGUAUAGCAAAUUUUAAACUACUAAAUUUACAUAGACCGAAUCUAUUCAAGUGUUUGUUCGGGCAAAAUGCGACAAAUUAUAUGAAUUUAGCUUCAUUGUCUAUUUCUACAUCAGUUGGCAAACAAUCAAAGCUCUAAAAGCGACAUAAAUAUAUCAGGUUUUGGUUCGAUGGGAACGGAAUCAACAUCAAUUAUUGAAAAGUUUACAAAAAACCGCAUCUUACUCUUUGUCCUUCCUCUUCCUUGGAAAUAACAUCCAUCACCCCACCCUCCCAUCUGCCUUGCCCCACUUGGAAAUAACCUUAAAAGGACCGAAAAUAGUAGUAGUCUCAGAAUAUUUCUUGCAGACUAAACCCUGAUUUCCAUCUUAGGGAGAGCUCCCAAGAAGCAUCUACUAUUUCGUAAAAUUUGUUCCGACCUCUAAAACUGUCAUGAAUACGAACGUGAUCUCAAGCUUCAUAGCCAUAGCAACUUCCAUCUCCUUCCUCCUCCUCUCACCCCCGUCAAAGUCCUUUUAUCAUUCCUUGUUCUUAUCUGAUUCCCUUUCAUGCAAUGAAUCAAUAGCAAACCACCUCUACAUCCUAACCAAGCGGCCUCAUGUUGCUGGGUCCGAAGCCAAUGCCGAAGCAGCGGCUUAUGUUCUAUCCACCCUCACUUCCUAUAAGGUUCGAUCACAUAUAACAACCUAUGAAGUUGCCUUGACUUACCCCAUCUCACGUUCCUUGACCCUAAAACCUACUCCUCAAGACAGCCCCGUCAAGUUCGAUCUCCACCAAGACAUUUACGACGGUGAUCCUCAUGCCGACGUGGCAGACGAAGUCCUACCGACGUUCCACGCAUAUGCCAAGUCUGCCACUGUAGCUGGACCUGUAGUAUAUGCCAAUUACGGGCGCGUACAGGACUAUGCUGUAUUGAAGCAAAUGAAAGUAAAUGUGUCAGGGAAUGUUGUAUUGGCAAAGUAUGGAAAGAUAUACAGAGGGGACAUUGUGGAAAAUGCUUAUGCAGAAGGUGCUAUAGGUGUAUUAAUUUACACAGAUAGGAAGGAUUACGGUGGAGGAGGUGAUGCAAAAUGGUUUCCUGAUGACAAGUGGAUGCCUUCAAGUGGAGUCCAGGUGGGAUCCGUGUACAAUGGGGCCGGUGAUCCCACUACACCUGGCUGGCCUAGUUCAGGGUUGUGCGAGAGACUAUCAGAUGAUGAUGCGGAGAAAGGAGGAGAAGUUCCAUUGAUACCAUCAUUACCUAUUUCAUGGGCUGAUGGUGACAGAAUCCUGAGGUCCAUAGAUGGACAAGUGGCAAAUGACGAUUGGCAGGGAGGGAAAGAUGCUCCUGUCUACAAGGUUGGGCCAGGACCAGCAAUUCUGAAUCUUAGUUAUACUGUAAGUCUCGAAAAACCAGCAAAAUGUCGAAUCUGUAGAGCUGAAACAGGCAUGCAGUAACUAAGAAAGCCCAUACCGUGAGUUUUGCAGGGAAAGCAAGUUAUAACCACAAUCCAAAAUGUUAUUGGAAUCAUUGAAGGUGUAGAAGAACCUGAUAGGUAAGUUUGAAUAAUUCAAACAUGCAAUGUACAGCAAAUUAAUACGCAUCUCUGAAACAAUUCUGCAUGAUGAAAUUGUCACGUAAGAAAACGACAAGCAAAUUGUUAUAGCAAGCCCUACAAUAGAAAUGAUAGCCAAAAUGAAAUCAUAAUAUUAUUUUCCAAAAAACUGAGCCUGGAUAAACAAAAUCAAGCUUACCGAGUAACUUUCUAAUGCUAGAUUUUCCUCACACAGUUGAAAAUUUUCUAGAUAUGUCAUACUUGGGAAUCACCGGGAUGCAUGGACAUUUGGAGCUGUUGAUCCAAAUAGUGGUACAGCAGCCCUGCUUGAGGUAUGUAAAAUUUUGGUGCUUAAAUCGUCUUAACAUCCCUAGAUUCAAAUUCCAAGGAAAAUAGCAGUUCAACUGAUAUUUUUGAGAGAGACAGGUUGCACACAGGAUGUGGAAGCUCCAGGAAAAAGGUUGGAAACCUCGGCGAACAAUUAUAUUUUGUAAUUGGGAUGCUGAAGAAUAUGGCCUGGUUUGUCUUUCGCUCCUCUCACUGUAGCACAUUCACUCGUCCACAUGCAGCCCUGGCUCCUUUCAAAUAACCAAAGCCAGAAAGAGGCUGUGUGAGCUAAUACAGGCAGAACAUAUUUGUUGUUUUAACUGAAUUAUAAGCAGUUCACCAUCUUCAGAUAGGAUCAACAGAAUGGGUUGAAGAGAACAGGGAAAUGCUAGCAUCAAGAGCUGUAGCCUAUAUGAAUGUUGAUAUUGCAGUUCAAGGAUUAGGAUUUUAUGCCUCUGCAACUCCACAGCUCGAUGAGCUACUAAUAAAAGCAACUAAGCAGGUACGAAACGAAUCUCAAGGGUUGGGGCCACAGGGUUUUACAACAUUGCCAUAUGCAUUAACAAUGAUUGCAUAUGGUUAAUCCACGUAGAAAGCAACAAGUUCAAAAAUAUAUAUAUAUAGAGGUGCAAAUGUGGUUUAACAGCACAAGAAUACCAGUCUGUCAAACUUCAAAUGUCAAUUUAUGUUUUAUCUUUCUAUUCUCACUCAAAUUAGAUAAACUUCUGACUUAGGUCCAAGACCCGGAUAACUCCUCGCAAUCCAUCUACCAAUCCUGGAUUCGCUCCAGUGAAAAUCCUAAGGUAAGCAUCUUAAGACAAUUUAAAUAAGAAAGAGAGUUGCAUUAGAGUUCUUAAAUGUGAACCUUGGGGUUGUGGGAGCAGGGUAAACAUUACAAGCACUGAAUAAAUGGCCACGUCCUAGACCAUUGUGCUACCACUUUGAUUUAUAAUUUAUCUUUACGAGAUAACUCAAUUGAUGCUUUUCAACUAAGGCAUUUAGCUACUUAGGUUUAAAAUCAAACUGCCCCUGAAUACCAAGAAAUACUAAAUCUAAAAGGUCAGCUUCUGGAUUUCUGUGGCCUUGAUAAGUGGCUUUUGGAUUUCAAUAUUGACAAACUGACCAAAAGGUCUUUAAGAUUGGAAGGUUAGGAGGAGGAGGAUCAGAUUAUUCUGCCUUCGUUCAGCAUGUUGGUGUUCCAGCUACUGAUAUCUCUUAUGGAGAAGGUAAAAUGAAUAUAUUCUGGUAAUCUUUUUCACAAAGCAAGAGAUGCUUGCAUCAAUGGUUAUUAGGCAGAUAUCCAAUUAAUUUCACCUUAAUGUAAUUUGCUCUGUCUUUUCAUUAAUUCCUUCACAUAGUAAGCUCCUAUGUCAUCUCCAAAACAACCCCCGGCCCUCUUCCCAACCCCCCUGUCCUCUCCCCAGAAGGCAAAAUAAAUGAAAAAAAAAAGAGCAGAAUCUAAUAAGACCACUGAGCAUUCAAAGCAAAACCUCGUACCAUAAAGCAUCCUAAAUAAAUAUAUCAGAGAAAUAAAUAGAAAAACAAUGUAAAAGCUCAAAACUUAAAGCAAUUUUUUUCUUUUUAAGCUAUUCAUGAUUCUUCAUGGUAAGAAUCAAUGAAGGGAUUUACGGACCAUGCAAGGAAAAUUAAUUUUUGUAUAGUAGGACUAAGAAAGCAGUAGCUUCGACAUACAAGCAUUAAGAACCAAAAAAAAAAACUUCUAAAAGCAAAAUAAUCUUACCAUCGUCUUUCCUCAUAACAAUUGGUCAGUGAGUGUGAUGAAAUUACAUCAGCCAGUUCUCUAGCAUCACUUACCAUUUGUAUGUAUGUUCAUUCUCCAUAACGUUGUGUUAUACCACUUGACUUUCAUUACAAGAGAAAUAAUGACAUUAUACUCGUUAGGCUCUAAAGCAGUGUAGUAUGACAAAUCACAAAUUUAGAAAAGCACAAAAUCUCCAUUUCUCUAAAAGAACACCCUACUAAGUAUCAUAGCUCUGGAGAUAUCGAGCAUGUUAGCAUAUCUAGGCAAAAAACUUUAUUUAGAUCUGGUGCAUAUUAUGUAUAACACACUCGUAUCAAUCUAACCAGUAUAGAAACAGUGCUAGAUCAGGAUCAACUCAGUACAUUGAGUUUCUUACCUUGAACAAUAACCUAUAAAGAACAUCUUUUUUAAAAAAUGUCAUAAAAACAAGGGGAAGACAGCAAUAGAAAAAGAAAAUUACAGGAUGAGUUGAGAAUAAGAGUCGGAGUAAAUGGUACAGGGACAUCAACCACAAUGUAUCAAACAUUUAAGAGAAAACAAUGGUGUAAGAUCAAGUAGAAGAAGAAGAGACAGAUUUUUUAACAGCCUCAAAACAAGGUUUGCUUACCCAUUAAUUACAUACCUCCUGACUAAUACACAGGCCAUCCAUCCACUCUCUGCUGCUAAUUGACUAGGCUUAAAAUUUUCAUCUACAACCUGCACUAACUCUGAACAACAUCAAAUAGACACCACAGCCUAGAAAUUAAUCCAAAAGAAUAGAGGGACCUGAUGAAGAUACAGAUGCAAGAUUGAUAGGUCAAAUGAGUACAUUUUGCCAGAUGUCUAGGACAAACUCUAAUAGACACUAAGAUCACCAUGAAUCAAGUUAGUUGUGAAGAUCAAUGUAUUUCCCCACCCAAUUACACUUCUAACGUUGCACAAAAGUCAAAACCUUGCCUCUCCCAUGACACUCUUAGAGCAUAAGAAUCUUGAAAAAAUAUAAUUUGCAGAAGAAAACAAAAUAAAAUCAGAAUCAGACCAAUACACUGAGAAUUCUAGCGAAUCAUCCAAGGCACAAUGUUCUAUUCAGUUGUCUUGACAGGCAUGCAUUCAGACAGAUUCUAGCCAACCCUUUAACAUCACUAGCAUACAAAGAACUGGUAAUGACAGAUGCAUAAUUAUCAUGGACUUAACUAGUUGCAAUCGAGAAGCUUGUCUCCUUAAAAAUGUGCAUGAAACAAGAAUUAACAUUUUUAUUGAGUACCAUCAUCUUUACUUACCACAUUACAAACACGUGUUGAGGCUGUGCAAUCAGAGUAGUUCAUAGUACAAGAAUUAAUUCGUAUAGACAUGACCCAGUUGACCUUAAAAGUACAUCAUGUAUAAAUUUUUUUUUCCUUAAGAAACAUAGACUUAUUAUUUCCAGCACUAGAGAUUCUCUUCCAGCACAAAAUAUAUCAUACUAAGCAAAAACGCUAGGCAUACUCCUUUUUAAGAAUCGGUCCAAUUCUUGAACUUUAUGACUUCUAACGUUUUUCAACCAUCACUUGACAAAAUUUGGUGGCUUGUAGAUUAUCCAGUCUAUCACUCAAUGUAUGAUGACUUCAUCUGGAUGAAGAAAUUUGGUGACCCAAAGUUUCACAGGCAUGUAGCAGGUUAGUUAUAAUUUUCUGCUAGAUAGUAGAAUUUACUGCAAUUGCAUAGACAUCUCAAUGGCUUCUGAGAUUAAAAGUUUCAUCACAUAAUUGGGAUGAGCUAUUAAUUAAUCAUCAGAAAUGCCAAUCUUACAGAAUCGAAAGUCACAAAGCAACUCUUAUGUUCAGUUUAAAACAUAAAUUAAGUUGAUCCCGCUUUUGUAAAUUCCCCACCAUCCCCUUAUUAGUAAAUCAGUUAACAUUUGGCAAUGAAAUCAAAAGUUGCAGGAAUCACAUGCAUAAUAAGACGGAUAGUGUGCAGAGAAGUGCAAAAAAUAUAUUAUUUAUUGGCCCUCUCCAAAUGAAAUUUCUUAGUUCAAGCGUCCAUUUGGCUAAAAGAGUUCCUAUAGAAGCAGGGUCUAAAAUCAACAUGGAAGAAAAACAACAAGACCAGGUUUCACUUAUCAGGCAUUCAAAAAAUAAUGCAUAUUAAAUGGAAACACAACAAAAUACUGAAAAACAUUAAACAUAGCAAAACACAGAUUCAUUUAACAGACAGUAUUCAGCAUAACUGACAGAAAUACUAUGUUGGAGAGAUGUGUUAAAGGAGGAGGAAGAAAAAGAAAAUUGCAAAUAGGAAGAAUUAAGAUAAGGCGACGAAAAACUGACGGGCAUAAAGGUUUCGAGCAGCAAGAAACAACAAUAAUUUAUCCAAUAGAGCCAAGAAACAUCAUAAGAACCUAUGAUUGUUUAGUUAGAUGAACAAUGUCAGAAAUGACAACGAAAAUAUGACUUAAUUCAAAAAUUAAAAAAAAAAAAUCAAAUACAGAAGCUUACUGCUUGUGUCAGACACUACACACUUUCAAGGCACUGAAGGGAACUCAAAAGUUUCAAAAGAAACGAAAGAUUACCUUAGACAAGUCAUUGCAUGCUCAAACACUUGCAGGACACAUCUCACCAAAUAUUAAAAUUGAGAUAAAUUUUCAUGUAUAAAGAAGAAACUUUUCAUAAAAAAUUUGGUAGCAUGAGUAGUACACAGUAAAAUUAGAAUACGAACCUGUAUCGAAUAUAUCAAGUAUCUGUUUCAGGCAUUUGACAAUCGACAUGGAUAGAUACUGAAUCAGACCCCUCUAAUAUGUUUUAAACCUAAAACAGACAUCUUCUAACUCCAUGUUAUAGUAGAUCAUGCAUAUAGUGCUCCAUGACACAUGACUGCUCCACAACAAGUACCAUUAUUGUAUGAUUAAAUUGUCACAUUUCCUAAUCUUCACGGAAGGAUAUAGGAGAAAUAAGAUGCUUUAAAUCAUGGUCUAUAUCGCAUCAAUGUCCAUGAAAGAUAUUAAAAUUUCAGUCAAACAAAUAUAGUCUCACAAAGAUUAGCUGCAUUCCGUAUACAUAGUUAUUGCUCCAUCAUCACUAAAUAUACACAUAUUGUGAUGCAAGAGCAAAUUUAAUAUACAGAUGUUGCUAGAGACGGAUUUGUUAUUCUAUACCACUACUUGUAUAAAAAAAAUUCCUUCAAUUGUGUUUUCAUUCAUGUUGUUUCCUAUCAUCCAUUUUCACAAAAGAGACGAAAGUUCACUCAAACAAUCUAAACCAUUAGAAACAUAGCUGCAUUAUGUACACAAAUAUUGCUUCAUCAUCAGUCACUGUUACAGUGGCUCAUGUGAUUCAACAGCAAACUUACAUUGUUAUAAUGCUACAGGUAGAUUUGUAGCUCCAGAUAUGUUAUACUUAAUAUAAAAAAAAUAUACCCUUUAGUUGUGUUUUCAAUCCUGUUGUUUUCUAUCAUCUAUUUUGUCCAACACAAUUCUACUUCAGCAGUUAAAUCUUUUCAUCAACUUGUUUCUUUUUGUGUACGAACAGUGACAAGUAUUUGGGGUUUAGUAGCACUUCAGCUUGCUGAUGAAGAAUUUUUACCUUUUGAUUAUCUGUCCUAUGCCAAUGAGCUGCAGGUAUGUUUCCUAUAGUGGAGAAAUGAGUAUAAUAUACCUGCUUCUACAAUUGAAAGUAAUCUAAUCUUUUGAUUGUUUGAUCCUGUAACUAGAGAAGUGUGGAAGACUUGAAAAUUGAGUUGUCAGAAAAGGGCAUAAAACUAUUUCCCUUAUUUAACUCUAUCAAGGAACUGAGAAUGGCAGCGACUAAAAUUGCAAACGAGAUAAAGGUACAUCUCCAGCUCUAUUAGUCAAAAACUUGGUAGAGAUCUCUAAGUGUGCUAAAUUUUAUUGAUAGAAGCACAAUUCAUUAGGUGCUACAAGACAGAAAUGUUUGGGCUUCUGUAUCAAAAAAUGACCACUACAAAGUAAGAGAAUUGAAUGACAGACUAAUGAUGGCAGAGCGAGCAUUCACUGACCGCGAAGGACUUCCUGGAAGGACAUGGUACAAGCAUUUGGUAAGCUUCUUUAAAUCACCUGCAAGUGACCUUGUUGUAGCUAAUUAAAAAUUCAGUUAAGUGCUUGUUAUUUCACCUUGAUUGAAGGUUCUUAUUUUUCUUCCAUUACAAAGCACAAAAAUGACAUCUACUUAGACCAAAGAAUUUCAGGAAAGAAUAAUCACAAAAGCAUUUGGAACAUCUAGCAUACCAAAAUGCGUGCAGCUGAAAAUGACACUUUUGAUAACUGAAACCAAAUACUGACUGAUGCUUUAUAUCAUUCAGAUAUUUGCACCAUCAAAGCACAAUGAUUAUGGUUCUAAGUACUUCCCUGGAAUAGAUGAUGCCAUCGAAAAGGCCAAAAGCAUUAACACCACAGACUUGUGGCUUGCAGUACAGCAUGAAGUCUGGAGAGUAUCUAGAGUGAUUAAACAUGCUUCACUGGUCCUCAGUGGUCAGUUAACAUGACUACCGUCAUCUUAUACCCCUAAAUUCCACGUGUGUAUUUGCUAUUAAUACUAAAACAAUUGGGUGACAUCUGGUGGACUUGCUUUAGUUCAAGACUGAAUCUGGGGAUUUUAUAUUGCAUUUUGUUUUUUUUCUUAGGUAUACUAUUGACUGUUCCUCAUUUGACUCACUAAUGGUUAGGAAAAAGAACUUGAUGGUCACAAAGGGAGAUAACCUGUAGUUAAGCUAAACAUGCAAACGCCCAAUCUGAGACCAUUUCUAAUAACCAUGUAGUCCAAGUCCUAGCUGCAUGAUACAAAAUUCCAACAUAAUUUCUCAGGGAAAUGAUUGGCAACUAAAUAUUUUACAGUUUAUUCUUGAUUUCUCAAAUUUGGAAAAUCAGUCUAUUGGUGUGCUUCCAUCUGAAGUGAAAUUUUCAAGAUCAAUACCACAGACAGGCUCUCACAAUGCCUCAAAAAUUUCCAUCCAUCAUUAUUGCAGUUAUCUCAAACGGGAGAUAAAUCCAAUAUUUAAAGAACUUCAUAGUGGUUGAGCAAACAAAAUACUACCUAAUCCUGAGUCCAACAGCACUAUAACAAAUUCUUUUGACAGUUUCACAGUUGAGCCAGUAAUGUGGCCUAGGCCAACAAAUAAGAAUUAAAGUUUCAAAAUUAGAGGUCUAAAUGGAGUACAACAGUUUCUGACAUACUGCAGUACCAAGCUAAAGGAAAGUUGGAUGUCAACACAAAUGAAAGCAUCAUUUCCAUUGCAAAAAGAAGAUAUACAUGUCACAAUAUGCUCAUUAAGCUGUACAACUAAAGCUAGGUUAGAAAUGUAAAGCAGUUAGGAACACAAAAAUCUGUAUUUCAGAUUUGGUAAAUACUGUACAAUUAUUUCUACUGAACCUACAAUAUAUACAAUGAACAACAGUUAUUUCCGAGUCCUCUACUUCCAAACCUUAAUUGCACCAUCCCUACUGCUCGAAAUCAGAAGCCUCUGGUUCAGCUUCACAGAAGCCAAAGAGAGGACAGAAUCACGGUGACAUCCUGCAGAAUCAGUGGCAGCACCAGCAAGGAUAGUCUUUGUGGUCAAUCUCAUUGUCAAAGGUCGUCUUCUGCCCUCCUGUUUGUAAAAAAGAUCAAUAUAAAUUAGUAGGCCAUCAUCCCAGAACAUAAGUGAGGGGCUAUUUCUCGUCCAAAUGCAGCUAGGUAAGUUUACAAUCACAGGCAAAAAGAAGAAGCGAUAGAGAACCAUUGAACUAAAGAAAAUCUUCAGUUUGAAAACGUACGACAUUUGAAUCCAACACUACCCCCCCCCCCGGGGGGAAAAAAAAGCCCAACCAUCAGUCCAGUUUUCUCCUUCCAGGCAUGGCCCAGGAUUUUAAACUAGUACCUUUACAAUGAGAAGGGAAGAAACUUCUCAAGGAUUGCCAAAAAAACAUACAACUUAAGAGUCCCUAAUAAUUCUGAAUAGAAGCCUACCCAAAUUUUUGAGAACUUCAUUAGAAACAAUUCAUGUCCCAAGUAAAAAAGAGAAACAAAUCAUGAUGAUGCCAUUAACAUACCUGCACAACUUGCACACCGUAGUAAGACUUUGUCUCAAAACUAUCAUCAUUUCCAACUCCCUUUAUAGAUGGUCCACAUACACAAUAACUUCGAUCAGGGCUGAAGCAUAGAUAUGCAAGGGUCAAUAGAAUUGCAAUGACUGCCCAAAUGCAUAAAGAAAAUUAGAAAAUGUACCUGGAAUGGUCCCAGCGACGUAUUUUCAAGUCAGUACCCCCUGUCAAUAGAUCCCCGCCUGGCAACGGAAGUAAAGCACGGAUGCCAGGAAGACGUGGAGGUGGUUCAUUCAACUCAUCGAUUCUAUAUUUCGAAUUAGCACUUAGCCUGAUAUCUGAUUUGGCAUUCCCCUUGCUGGAUGCUCUGGCUAAUGCCCAAGGCGAGUCAGAAAUUUCAGCAUCCGUCUCAUUAUUUGCUACCCUCAACACCUGCAAAAAGCAGAAUAAGUAGCACAAAAAUCCACCAGUAUAAAAGCACGAAAUGUUAUUGCAGUGAUUGAACGACAGGUGCCAACUGCUCAUUCCAUUCAUCAGUCUAACUACAAUAUCGGGGUUUCGUAUAUCUUAUUCGAGUGAAUUUCACAUUUAAAAUCUAAUUGUCUGUGACUUCCAAAGUAUCCCAGCACAACAAGUAUAUUCUCUCAAAAAUUACUCCCCAGAUGUACAUUAUACUUCCCCCUCCAAUCCUUCUGUAUCUCCAUAACUAAUCAUCCCUCCCAAGCAUGCAUGUUUACCAGCAAGAACAUCUAUAUGGAUCAUAUUCUUUCUAAAAUACAACAUCACAUCAAUCAAUUUAAUCACAUUCAGUCAAAUUUCACUCUUUUGCUAGAUUCUUUACUAUUUUGUAAAAAGUACAAAGUGAUCCAACUGUACCUGAUGGCAGCUUCCAUUUUCUGCAUUCCAAAGAGAAACUUCAUUACACCCUGCUGCAACAUAAACAAGAGGUCUGGUAGAUAGGGAGAAGGAGGUACUAGGAGGAGGAACAAAAAGGCUCAUUUUCUCAAUUGGGCAUGCAAGAGAAUACUGCCAUGAAUUGACAGGUAUUCCAAACCUCAAAUCCCAAAGGGUAAGCACGCCUCUUGAUGACCCAGUGACAAACCAGUUCCCACAAGGAUCUGCAACCAGAGAAGAUACAUAACCCUCCUCAGGGACCACUUUUGAAUUCCAAACAUUUGAACUUGUUCUUGUAUCCCACAGAUGAAUUCCACAAUUCUGGGUACUGUACAAAAUCAUUUUGCAAGCACCACCAUCAGGGGAGUAGUUCAAAAGGUUUAAUAUAGCACCUUCUCCAACUCCGUUCUUUUUAACAUCAGCUAUGCCUGAAUAUUUCUCCACAACAUUGCCCAGUCCCCCGGAUAUGUAAUCAACAGAGAACAUGUGUAUAGCUCCAUCACAAGCUCCAACAACAACUUGAGCAGAACCCUGGAUCACAGCAACACACAGUGCUCGACUUCCAUCUAAAGAAUAAGUUAGGCGCGACCUGAAUGAGAUAUCUUUUUCUAACCUUUUAGAAUCCCAAAUUUUAACAGUAGAAUCUUCAGAUGCACUUACGAAAAAGCUAUGGUCAGUGGAAACAGCUAUGUCAUUAACAGCAGAGUGGUGAUCCUGGAGAUGCGCAACCAACACCCCACGAGGCCUCCACCCUGAAUCUGGAAUCGUCGAUGUUCGCCCAAAAGAUGGUACAUCUGCACCCUCACUUGAAGCAGAAUUACUUUCAAUUGAAAGGGAACUCCCUUUUGUUGUACCAGACACUCCCAUUUCCAGAAACUUGUUAUUUACAAAGGCUGUUUGAUCCAUUUCCCUGUCUUCAACUUCAUGUACAACCCUUCGCAAUUGUGUGGAACCACCACCAAUGCUGAUUGAGCCUGAGAUAAACUUAGGAGCUGGAUCUGAAUUGGCCAAGCUAAAUGAUUUACUAACUGGAUCCAUCCAUGGCAAGGAUGCAGAACCAAAACCUAAAGAACCACAUGGUAAUGAUGAAUCAGAGACUGUUGGAGAGCCUGCAGCUCGUUUGUUAUCAACUUUAAAGUAAUACAAAGGAAUGCCUUGUGAUGAUUUCUCCAUUAAACUGUUCAUUCCACUAAGAGGUGGAGAGAUAAAACCGGGCAACUGCAACUUUUCAGAAUCCAGGAAGUCGCCAGAAUCCAUAGCCAUAGGACUUUGCACUGAGUUGCCCACAACUUUUGAAUUCUGGUCAUUAUCAUUACAAUCUGCAAGAUCCAGAGGCAGAUUUGCACGUUCAACAACUUUAUUGCUCUGAAGAUCUCUUUGUCGGUCAGACCAGCACAUCAUUGGAUCCAGCUCCUUCACCCCUCUCUGAAGAAAAUCCACUGUUUCCCAAUUUUUAGCCUGUGAGUCACUGUUGUACCAUAUUUUUCGCUGUCUCUCCAGCAUGUCUGAGCUCCUGGCACUUUCUAAAACACGAUAGUAUCUCUCUCUUGACACUGGCGGCUCUAGGCAUGAAAAAAGAGCCUUUUCUGAAGCUAAAGAUGCUGGUUGUCUACGCAGGAAGGUGCGUAUAACAGGCACAAGGAAAACAUAUGAAUCUACUGCACCUAAACUCUCACUGCUAGCUGCAAUGAAUGUGACAUCGGCCCUCCUGACCCAUUGACUAGGAUAACACAACAGUGGAAAAGCGUGUUCUAUCAUCUCAAGCAAGAUUCUCUUCCUUAGAAAUCCACUUUUGCAUAAAAUAGCUAGGCAUUCCAGUGCAUUCACAAUUACAGCCUCAGUUACAUCGCUUAAAGCCUGCUCAAUGUAUGGCAAAAGAUAUUCCUCGACACUCCUUUGUCCCACGAAAAAGCAGACAUAUAUGAUCUGUCCAUAAAACACUGCCCUGAGUUGCUCAUCUCGGUCAUUUAGGAAAGCAGGGAGGAUGGGCAACAAGAAAUCAUUACUCUGCCUCUGGCCAAAAAACCAGCAAAGAUUGCCAAUGUCAUGCAGGAGUGCUCUCCUGAUAUUUGGUGUUUGCUUUGGGCCCAUCACAAGUUCUUGAAUGACAUCCGCAAUAGACUUCCUUAAUUGCACAAGCUGUGCAUCACUAUUUGGACUGUAUCUCCUUCCAGAUGUAUCAGAGGAUGUAGAGAGUGACUUCUGUGGCGAACUUGAUUCACUGAGAACUCCUGCCUCACUCAAACUUAUAGAGUGAAUCAAAAACCCAUAAGCAGUAAGUGCCAGCUUAGAUAUAUUGCUUGCAUAACAUAUCCUUACACUUUCCUCUGGAUCAUCAGGGAGCAUGGAGAGCAUUGGAAGAAUAUACUCGGGAAAAAUUUUAGCAUCACUGGGUGGAAAAUCUCUGACUAAGGGAAGAAUGUCACAUAAAGUCUCUAGGGCAGCACAACGCACAAUUGCAGCUGGAUCUGAGAGCAUUGCAAUAACAUAUGGAAGCACACGCUGCAAUCGAUCUUCAUCAUCAAUGUAUAAGGAACACGACUUCAAUAGAAGCACAGCUCCUCUCCUCAUGAAUGGCAGUUUGACAUUUCUUAUGCAAGAACAGAGCAAUGAGGCAAUCAGAACCAUACCUUCACAGCUCAUGAUAUCUUGAGGUAAUGGUAGAAAAGGCAUACCAAAAGUGUCUGACUGGUUGUCAUAAUCCGACAUUAAUGAGUUCAAAUCACUUGUUGUUAUCUUUCUUAAGAAGGGAUGGUGACUUCUGUUAAAUAUAUUAGAGAUACUCUGAAUCAGCUCAUCAGGAGAUUGCACAUCACACUGCUUUCUGUUUUGAGAAUAUGCAGAUCUAGCCACACCUUCCAGCAACGGUUUCAUGCUAUGAAAUCGAUUAUUUUCCUUCACAUCCCUGAGUAGAUUACCAACAUCACCAAGAAGAUCAAACCUAUCAUGAAUCGAGCCCUUAUCCACCUUUUCUCUUUUGCUACUGGUGUCCUUCUCCACAUUUGUAUUAUGUUGUGCAUCUGUCCCAUGCAGAGAUUGAUGCAUAGCAUCUAAAGAAAGCGCCUCCCCAGAAACAGUCUCCUUGACUACACUACUGCUCAUCAUUUGUCUAAGAAUCUCUUGAAAAGACGUCUGGCAUAUUAAAACCUACACCAAGGAACUUUCUAAAUAAGCUUGAGCACAGCGUAAUUAUCACCAAGAUAAAGAUCAAGCACCAAAAAUGCCUUACCCUUGCAUCAGAAUUAAGGGGAUUCAACAAGGAAUAGAAAUUGUGGAGAAAUGGAGAGAAGUAGCCAGGAAACACAAUGCCAGAGAAGUUCUGCAGAUAGCUUUCAGCAGAAAAACGUGCCUCCGGAUCCAAUUGAAUCAUAUGAAGAAUCAUCUUGCGGAUUCCUGAAUCUGGAAUCUUUAUGCAAACAAGAUAAAGACCAAAAAUAAAAGUUAAUUUAGAGAUUCAAUAAACACUCUAAGUGGACUAGUAGGCAAACACUUCAACCUAUAUAGUGAAGUCAAUGUUCCAUGAAAUUUCUUGAAAGAGAUUAAUUGGGAAAAUAUGAUGACACAAGAAGAAGCAGAGAAAGGUCCUUUGGUUAGAGCCAAGUUAAAAUGGCAUUGACUAGAUCUUACUUUUUCUAGAUGUUGGCUAGGAUCAUAUUGUCCUCUACGAUAAGCAAGCAGUUGAGACAACUCAAACAAUGGCUGACCCUCGAGGAAUAGCUCAGCUAUUACACACCUGAAGCAAGAACAUGAAAUUGAAGAAAAGUGUAAAUCCAUUGUAUCACAAGGCAAGAGCUUAUUGCCAUAUAGAUAAAGACAUCCUCAUCAAAGAUUUGUGCCUCAACCAUAAAAGCAACCAUCCAAAGCCAAAAAAGUCAAGAAAAUUAGUUUGUGAACUGCUUUGUAUAACGUAAAAAGAGAACCUCUUGACCCAACCAAUAUGUAUAUACCAAUAAAAUGUAGCAACUAAAGCAAACAAAACUUAAAAUGAUAGACCACAACUGGAUUGCUUGGAUGAAAUAUGUAGAAAUGAUAGUAAUUAAUUUGAUUGUGCUCUAACAUGAACGCUCACUUGAGGGCUGUACAUGAUUAUGCAAGCCCAAUUAAUCUCCUAUACACUAGCAGUGUCUGUCAGGCCUGGAUGCAUGACAACUAAUUUUAAUUUCAAUUUGAAAUCCAAGUUUUACAUGGCAAGCACCCAAGGCCAACAGUGCAUUCAUUGUCGGUGCAUAUAAGAUUAAUCCAUAGACAAGAGCUAAAACAAAUGCUGUUGAUCUAGAACCCUAAUCUCUUUUUCAGAAAUACCAAUUUGAUUACCACAUGAUAUAGAAGUAUAAGUUAUUGCAAAGAACUUUGGUUGUUUAUGGACUCCUGCAAAAGCAACUGAUGUGAAGCGCAUCACAUUCCUUGAAUGGGUUUGGGGCAAUUUCAUUGCUGUUGUUGAGGAAUAAAUCAUUGAUCUACUUGUAGGAUUUGAUACAAAAGGUAAAAGAAUCUUUACCCAAUUUUAUUAAAGAUCUAUUGUCACCAAUGUACUGUAUUAAACAAAGAAUCUCACAGAUCAACAUAGUCCUACUACUUUCACAUACUUCAUCCAUGUGGGCCAAUUAUAAGUCCCAACCACACUUUAGUCAGCCCCCACAAAAAAGAACACAUUUUUUUCUCCAUGUUUUGACUUACUUAGUAAGGUGACAAUGUUAUUUGGCUAUUUGCACAACAGCAAGAUCGUCAAAACAAAAGAUGAACUUGCACAGCAAGCUAAAAGCUACAAGAUGUGAGUUCAAGGAAAUAACCUGUUCGAGCUUGCCAGAUCAAGUCAUUCAAAGUAACAGGCAGAAAGAGGGUAGAAAAUGAUACUGUUCAUAUAUAGCGCAAAGUCCAGGAUGCCAGAGAGAUACUAUCAUCUAUGUCCAAUAAGAAACAAUGAUUCCCACUCACACAAACGAUUUCAGACAAGUUUCUGACACAUAUCAAGCUCAGAUCCAGAAUUCCAUCAAAAGAUGAAAUGACUAUUGUUUUAAAAAUGUAAAGCAAGACACAAAAGUAGAAAUUUUAUCAUAUAAUAAAGAAAGACAAACAUGUGAUACUAUCAUCUAUUUAAUAAAAUAUCAAUAAGACAAGCAAUGUUCCUUAGAUGGAAAAACAAAUCCUGGAUCAAGAAACAUCUUAUUGUUAAGUUAACAUAAUCAGAUACUUUACUUCCAAGUUCAGGUUCUUAUAAAACAUCAGUGAUAUUUAUGCUCAAGCAGCAUAUGCAGGUAUAAGUAAAUUAAAAUUUCAGGGCAAACAAAGACUUGCACAAGGAAAAAAUUAUUCUUUCAAAAUGGGAAAGAAGGUCUCAUCAUAUCUUCAAUUCAGUAAAUUGCAAUCUAGUGUGUGCAUUUGUGUAUUUCAAUUCGCAUAAAUAAUUUUAAAAGCAUGUAUAAGUUUAGUUAAUGCCACUUCUCAUGUACUGGGAAAAGCAUAUUUACCACCUUUAGGCAUCACAUUAGAUUUCUCAAGCACCACUGCCCAUGCUUUUACAAGACAACAACCCUCUUGGCAAUAAAACAAAAGCAGUGCAAGGGGCUAAUAUAGAACAAUUUGCAGCAGAAGGGGCACUAAACUUGUUAGUGAUAUAGGCUGAAGCCAAAGAGAAAAUCUGGAACUUAAACAAUAACCGGGAAGUAAAGGAUUCUGGGUCAAUUGAUAAAAAAUUAGCAUAGGCAGCAACAAUUGUCUUUUGAUAGUAUUGCAAAAGAAAAGACCCACAUUGACCAAAAAAUCAACUGUCACAAUACAUGUUGCCACUUUCAACACAAUUUCCACUUAUCUGCACACUGACGUAAACAUGAUUCUACUACUAUGGAGCAUUUAAGAAGCAAAUGCUCCUUGAAUACCAAAACUUCAAGAACCAAAGCGAUAAAUUAUUUCCAGUGUAUUUUUUAAUAAAGUAAUCUUCAAUUCCAAAUUAUCAGCUCAAAUGCAGAAAACUUACCCUACAGCAAAGAUGUCCAUUGAUGGUUUUAAUGGUGCAUCUUGAGCAACUUGCGUUUCACCUCCAUGCCCAUAAAAUCUCUGAAAAAUGAAAGCAACUUCUAUUAGUGAGUAUAGACAAAAGGCAACUGUCACAUUCACUAAAUGCAAUUCUCUCUCUCUCUCUCUCUCUCUCUCUCUCUUCAUUCAUUUUCUUUGUAGAAAAGAACUUCUAAUAUUUCACAGUCUAGUUAACCAUGCUAUAAAUAACCAAUUUUCCAUUUGAAAGAGGAAAAGAAUCAAUCAAUACUUGGUAACAAUUUGAUGAUCAUGUGUCAUGAAUGGUCAACAUAGGAUCAAAAUUAAUCUCCAGUCCGAAUUAGUCUUACAGGGGAUGAUAAUUUCGCUGAUUGUGACCAUUCAGGUGAUCCAUACUUCAGGUAUUGGAUUCUUCUACAAGACUUUUGUUUUUGCCUUUUAUUUUCUACACUUCCUAAUGCAUUUUGCUUCCCAUCAUCAUUAGCAUAAUGUUUAUGUCCUUUCUGCACUAGAAGAAACCUAAACAUAUGUUGUUGUACCUAACAGACAAGGAGAAAAGAAAGUCCAUUUAUUUGUCUUCUUAUAUCCAUCCAUAACCUUAUCACAACUGUGAUCAUGAAUCCAAUAAAGCUUACAAAGGCAGCUGCACAAACUAAACAUAAAUGGUCAGGGCUACCAAGAAAGUUGUGAAAAUUGAAAAACAAUAUUUAUCGACCAAAAAGUUCGAGAAGAGUUUCCUUGUUUUACCUUAAUUGGACAAAGGGAGAACUCUGAAGUAAGAGAUCUAGAUGUCAAAAAAGCAAUUAAUAUGAAAUGUCUGUAGUAAUGAAUUUCAAUUUUGUCAAGGGGGCGAAAAAACACACAGUUACGUAAUUGCACAUAGAUUCAGCAAGGGUGUCAUUUAGUAAUUGUCAUGGUAAGUGCUGUUUCCUUAAACAUAAAUAAGCCGUCUGCCUUGCACUAAUAGGGGAAAUUACGAAUGUUUAGAAAGUUCAUCUUCAAAAGGACAAGGAGGAGGAAGCAAUAUUUGGUUGUUACUAGUUGUCAGGCAAAUUAAGAAAACCACUCCAUCGAACUAAAAGAAUCACCAAUAAAGCUGAUCAAGAUAGUCAAGUACUUUUAUUGUGAGUUAAGCUAGUGUCUUUGAAAAGAAAUACAACCAAAAACUCAUUCUAGCACUAUGUAUACAGACAACCAAAAUUAACUUUUCAUCUGAAAUUGGAUCUCACCAGCACAAACGAAUAGGAAGCAGACAACAUUCUCCAGAAUACACCAAAAAGGUCAUUCUUCUAGGGCACUUCUUACAGAAAAUAAGAAGUUACUUCCAUUAGUCACCAAAAGGAAAGAAGUUGACUCAUAUUAGGCAGGCCCUUUUAAAAAAUGAGAAAUAUAUGUUGUUAACUGCAUAGUGUUUCCCCCUAUCUUUAUGUUUUAUGACACCAGCCAACUGAAAGGUUGAAAGUCAGCCACUCUAAUCAAACAAGCAAUCCAUUAACAAUAUGAAAAAUCAUGACAAGAAGUUCAUAUAUCUAGCAAAACUUCUCUGCCAAGCAAUUUUAUACGUCCUCCCAGACCUGAAUAAUGAAAAGCAUUGUUUGGAUUGAGAUGAUUUCAGAUAAAAUAAUUUGCUUCACAAAUUCCAAUUACCUUUUUAUCUUCCCAGUCACCUUUUUAUCUCACAUACAUCACAUCAUAAAAAGCGCUACAGUAAUUAUCUCAAAUAAAUCAUCCAAAUAAACUCCUAUCCAAACAAACCCUCAUAACUAGAAUCCAAAUUUAUUUCAUUAAGCAAAAACCAGAAAGGUACAAUCAUAAAGCAAUGCGCCAAUGAAAAAAUUAGCAAUUCAAAGUAACAGAAGAUCUAAGCAAUUUUAUGAUCAUCUCAACUGUAUCACAUUCUAGGCAGGAUAUUGCCAAAAUCCCAAGGCUUAUGAGAUGCUUUAAAUUUGUAUUAGCAUUAACCCCUAUAGUACUAGGACGAAAAGUUUAAUUUGAAGUCAAGAACUAGAAAAGCUCAAACUAAAAUAUUAUUUCCCAUCCUGCAUAUGUUAACAUAGAUUUUCACAUAAAUAUUAGAUGAAUUACAAAAUUAAAUUAAAUUAAGCUUAUCUUGCUAAAUCUCUGGUUGGGAAAAAAAAAAGAUUAACUAGAAUAAGAAACCAACCUCAGGAGCAAGGUAACACCGCCUUCUUCCACCAGUGUCAAAGAAAAACGAAAAAUCAGAAGGAUCAUCAUGUGGAAUAUACGUCGGUUUGAAUGAUGCAAAAUCAGCAAGAUAAAGCCAGUUCCAGGAAGUAACCAGAACAUUCUCACACUUAAUAUCACCUGCAUCAGAUUAAAUUAAGUUACUUCUUCCUAAGAAUCAAUAUAAUGUUGCUAACAGAGGAGAUUAAAUUUACACUUAUCUUACCAUGACAAACUCCAUUUUCAUGGCUCUGUUUUGCAGCAUAAAGCAGCUGCAAGACCAAAAAUUUCAUUAAGCCCUAACUGCAACUAAAAGACUAACACUGCAAUGAGAAGAAAGAAAGAAACCUGAAAAGCCAGCCAUUUCUUCUCAACAAGACUGAGGAAAGGUCGAGUGCUCAACCGAUCAUGAAGAUUAUUAAAAAAGUAUUGCCUCAACAAGUAGGCAGCUUUGUCAGUUUCAAGCCAAAACUGCAGCAUACAACAUUUGCAAAAUAAGACCAUUUUAAGCCACCAAAAAAGCAAGAAAACAAAACAAUCAUAAAGUCUUAAACUCCUUAAAGCGACUAAAAACCACAAUUAUUCAAUCAUUCAGAAGGAUUCAUCAGUCAAUGAGACAAUUAAACAUCUAAAUGUAGAUAAAGUAAAAGCCCUCCUUUUGGUGUCAAAAAUUACUGUCAGUUUAUGUCACACCAAAACUGCCCUUUAGAGUUAGUAUUAAAACUACUCAAAUCUACUUUCAUUUUACAUCAUGAUCUCAAAAACAGUAGCUUCAUUUAUUAAGAAAAAGAAAAGGGCAAUAUAACCAUCUUUCCAGCAAGCACAGGCAUAGGAUAUGCCAUAUACACUAGUCUCCAGAAGUUAUUUCUGCCUUUCUUCAUUUUCAGUCGAAACUUCAGGGAAUUCGAAACCUAAAUUUAUGGUCAUCACCUAAACACAUUCCUACCAAAUGUAAAAGGAAGAGAAAAAAAAAAGAAUGCAAAGUAUUUCCAUCAAAGUAUCAGCCUCGUGGUGCCCCCAAAUUCCAAUGAAAAAAACAAUUUCAGACUGACAUGAAUGAUUUACAAAUUUGUCUUUAUAAACCUUCAAUUGGUAGCAUAAACUAAAUUAUUUUAAAUAAAUACUACUUUACAAACACUAUUUUUCCCUGAGCUCCACUUUCUCCUAAUACCCAUAUUGGUAAACCAUAAUUCUACCUAGCUUGUAACAAAGUAACCGGGAGAAAUUCAAAUAGCAGCAUCACUUUGAUAAAGCAUUAAUCUGAUGCAACUCAUUUCCGCCACUGAUGUCCAUUGCUUUUGGCAAUCCCAAAAGGAACACUAGUUCCCAGAGCUCGACUAUGAACACGAGCUUAAUAUUUACUUCUGGCCCUUUGCUUACUACAUAUUACGCUCUCAUUUAACUGCUUUAUAAGAUGCUGCAACCAAAAAUUAAAAUGCAUCCCUUUUAUUAAAUAUGCUUCACACUACAAUUUCUCUUCCACGUUCUUCUAAGGAAUGAAGUACUAAUCUCGGCAAGGGUGAUACCAAUUUUAGCCCUAUCCUCAAACUAAAAUACAAUUAAAAUCAAUUCACAAAUAUCAGUGCGAAGGUGCAUUUAUGUACAAAUAAAUGUACUUCAGAGUAAAAGUAGAGGCAGACCUGGAAGGGCCAGACAUGAGGGUGAUCGAGGCCAGUGAAUACACCGCGAAUUUGGGAGAGGCGGCGCUCGUAGUCGCGUAAGUCAAUGGAGUCCCCUCUUUUGAAAUAAACCUUGACUAGCACAAGUCCUUCGUCGUGCUUGCACAGGAUCGAUUUCAGGAAUCGUCCUCGGCCCAAGACUUCUUUCAAUACUAAAUUAUAAGAAGACGGUAAAUCGUGCAGGUAAUACUCCGUCGCCGAAGCUUGCGUUGUUCGCGCGAUUUUAUUCCCCAUUCUGAGCUUGUGUUGUUUUCCCUCCAAGCGUUUGAAUUAGCUAGGGUUUUGUUUUCUGUUUUGCUUUUAAUUGUUUCUUUCACAUUGCGCAGGUCCGGUUUAACGGUGACCGAAGCGCGGCAGAGAGGGGGAUCGGAGGCGGAGGUGGUGAUGGGAAGGGACGGAAAAGGGGGGAGCUGCGGUUGCGUGGGACUGUGUGGCGGAAGCAAGGUAAUGCUACUGCAGCGGAUCGUUAAUUUUCCAGUGGUUUAUUGCCAUGUCAUCAACGAUUUGUUUUCACGUCUUGCACAAGAUUGUGAAAAAGCGUGGACGUAAACUAUUCAAUGGAAAUUGCAUUUUCUCACGCUUUUCACCACUCCACUUUUUUUCUUUUUUUUUUAUAAAAAAAAAACCAGUCAAUGCUCUUUGCGGAUAAAUUUUGGCUUCUCCUUUUGUUGUGAAUUCUUGUGCUUUGUGUUAUAAGUAAGUUAUUAAAAAUCAAAUGUCAUAAUUCGGUCAAUCAUUAGAAAUUAAACAUUAAUGGUGUAAUAUAUCGUAUUGUUUUUCAUAAUUUAUACCAAAAUCCUACUAUUAAGCAAUAAAUUGCCUUCCAUAUAUUAACAAAUCAUCCAAAAUCCUAGUAUCGGGUAUUUCUACUAAAACAAGUUUUUUAAAUAUAAUGUUACAGUAUUACACAAUAACUCAAAAAAUAUUUUAUCCAUACAAUAUAUCAAAUAUUUCAAAAAAAAAUUAUAUACACUGUUACAGUAACAUUUUUCAAAAACAUUCCAAAAAACAACUAAUCCAAACGGAACUAAUAAGGGUGCCUUUGGGAGUUGAGGGUUUGGACUGAAAAGAAAGGGAGAGAAGAGAAAAUCUGAUUUUCCUUUGUUUGUGAGUUUUUAGUAAGAAGGAAAAGAAAAAAAUGGGAGGAUGAAUAGUAGAUAAAAUUUUUCCUCCCAAAUUGAAAAGAAAUGAAGAGAAAGUUAGAGGAACCUUAUAAAAUUUUUUUAAAAUACUUAUUUUAUCCUUAAAAAUGUCUUGAACAAAUAUAAUGACUUUCAUAUCCAAAAUCAUUCCACUAAUUCUCAAAACUCCCAAAUAACAUAACAAUCCCUUCUCUCCUCUCGUAACUUAAGUUCUCCCUUCUUCACUUUUCUAUCCUAAACUCCCAAACUUAGCCUAAGUGUGUAUUUAUAUCCUUUUUUGUUCUUUUGAAGGUGGCUAGCAUUCUCGAUAAAACAUAAGAAGUUCUCCGAUGCAAUUAGGAGGAGGUACUUGCAAAUAAAACAAUAGCUUCCCCCAAUCAAACUAUUAAAGUUCAAGCCAAGUCGUGCAAGCACAAUUAGCGCAAAUCUUCAACGUUACGUGUUAGAUACUUGGAUAUAUCUGUGAAAUGUUUUUUCGUGGAAUUAAACUUCUGCAAAUAUGAAUCAAUUAUUAAAUAAAAGAAAUAAAUUGAUUUCCUUUUUGUGCCCUUAUCGCCAUCAUAUUUACCUAUUCCCUGUAAUUUGCUAGGCUUGAUUAGAUUUAGAAGCAAGUAAAACAACGUUCUCAAUCGCGAGGAAGAAACCAUUCGAUCAUCAAAAAGAGUACGCCCAUAAGAAUUCCACACAGUAUGGAUUCACAGAUCGGACAACUCAAGGAACAGAAGAACGCACAAGAAUUUAUUUAAUAUGGUAAAUCACAGAUCACCAUAGAUUCAUAUAUCUAGGUAUAAUCAAAGGCGUAUUUACAUUUCCAAGUUCAUAAAAAACAAAGAAAUCAGAAGAUCAACAUUUGAUAAUCACAGCCGAUGACGAUGACGAUGAUAUUUAUGAUCUUCAGUCUUCGUUCUUAAUAGGAUCUUCAUAGUUGGGAUCAUUUACGUCGAGAGCUUCUUUGUGGAUCCGUCCUAGCUCAGCAUCGGAGUAACCGUCACCGGACCACGUGAACUUGCCGCCAUGGCCACCUUUCUUCGGCGAUCCAUUCAUGCCUGUAGCCGAUUUCCUGUCUCUCCUGAUCUCCUGACCGUUGCCGGCCUUCACAUUUGUCUUGGAGCUUUUGCCGGAAUUCUUCAUCUGUCUCUCUCCACUCGUGGCUCUUCUGUAUCUACUCUAUCAAUUGAAGCGAGUGAGAACAGGAAACCCAGGUUGGCAGAAUUUAUAGGAAGCUCGGGGGUUUGUACAUUGGGAGCGGUAUUUUAAUCGCGACCUUGUGGGCUGAUCAUGUAACAUGACAGCGACUGUAACAAAUGGAUAAGAACGGACUAUUCUGUCAUUUUUUUAUUUUAUUUUUUUGGGUAUGGGAACAAACUCCGGUUUUCUUUACCAGCCAAAUCAAUGAUCAUACACUCAC